UACAGAUAGUUAUUGAUGGGCUUACUUCACUUGAACGAGAAACUAUUCAAAACAGGAAAAAGAGGAAAGAUGAUGAUGCAUGUGAUCAUAAUUUGGUUUUGAUUUCUCAAUCAAGUCAAAUAAAUCAACGUGUAGGAGGAUAUGUGUUAACAGAUCCUCUGCAAUCACAAUGUAAAGGCAAAAAAAGGCUGCAAAGGUUCAAGCCACCUCUUGAAAAGAAAGCUAAGAAAUCUAGGACAUGUCAAAUAUGCAAAAAGAAAAGCCAUAAUAGGUGAACUUGCAAAGAGGCUUCCAAUAUAUUCGAUGAUAAUCCUCCACACUCGAGAUAGACAGCAAUGAAAGCCGUGAAAAUGAUGAAGAUAGUGAAGAAUAAAAUUAGUAUUUUUUUGGAUGUUUAAUGUACUAUGCACUUUGGAAGUUCAAAUAUUGUAUUUUAGAUAUUUAAUGUACUAUAUACUUUGAAAGUUCAAAUGUUGUAUUUUAGAUAUUUAAUGUACUUGUUUGGCUGUUGUAAUUUAUUUAGAAUGUUGGAUGUGAUGUUGUAUCUUUUUGGAUGUUGUAUUUUAGAUAUUGUAUUUUGUGAUAUUUAAGAUACUUUGGAUAUUUUGUUUCCAAAGUUGAAUUCUCAAUUUGAAUGUGUAAUACAAUUUGGAUGUUCAAAUAUUGUAUUUUAGAUGUUUAAUAUAUUUGUUUGGAUGUUAUAAUUUAUUUGGAAUGCUGGAUGUGAUGUUGUAUCUUUUUUGGGUGUUGUAUUCUAAAUAUUAUAUUUUGUGAUGUUUAAGAUACUUAGGAUAUUUUGUUUUCCAAUAUUGAAUGCUUAAUGCAUUUUUUAUGUUCAAAUGUUACAUAGAUAUUUAAUAUAAUUAAAAUAUUUAAUUUGGAAUGUUGGAUGUAUAAAGUACUUUGGAUAUGUUAUUUCAAAUGUUAUAAAUAGAAAGGAAACUUACAACUCAUUCAUAUAUAAAAGUUUAUUUGACCUUAAAGAAACAAGAGGAAACUUACAACUCAUUCACAUAUAAAAGUUCAUUUGAAUAUAAAGAAAUAGAGAGAAAACUUACAAUAUUCAUAUACAAAAGUUCUUACAUGACAUCUAGAAAUUAAAUAAAACUUUAAUAAUUAACAAACAAAGUAGGAACAAAAAAAAUACAUUUUCUUCUCAUAAUCCCUUUUGUUUGCAUUAACCCUUGCCGACAGUUCUUUGAAUUUGGCUUUCAGGAUCUGAAUUUCUUCGUGCAUCUCAUUUACUUGAUCCAACAGUUGUUGCUUUGAAGAUAUCUCGGAUGUUAUUUUUGAUGCGUGAUCUAAAAAUUUAUCGAUUUUUGAAUUAUUUAAGCUACCAAUGCUGGAUGUAUCUUUAUGUUUUAGAUCACGCCACAUGAAAAAAUCACAAUAAUUUUCAGAGAUCUUUCCGUAUUUCGGACAUCCAAAAAUUAUUUUCCUUUGCUCUUAGGUUGUUGUGAAACUCGAAAAACAGCUGGUUCAUUACAAUUGCAACGAACAACUCUACUUUCUCCAGAAUUUUCUUUAGACCAACCCAUCGCAUGGAAUACUUAUUUUCAGAUAACCUGCAUUCAAAGCUAUUAAUUAGUAUAUUAAGUUGAAAAAAUUUACAAAAAACUUGCAUUAAGGAAAAUUUUUGGGGGAAGGGUGGCUUCAGGCAGCUUUUUUUUUCUUUUCUUUUUUUUUUUGCUUCUAGGUAGUGAAGGGUGAGAGGUUGGGGGUGCGGCGCACCAGUGCGCACGUGCGCGCGAGGGGGGAUGGGCGGCGCACCUACCUGCGCCCGUGGGGUGGGGGUUGCGGUGCACCUGCUAGCACUACCCCAAGGGCGAGACGAGCGGCGACGUCGUUGCAAGUAUUACUACCCUCUACACCACCCGUGCUAGGACUCUUUUCGAUACUAGAGCAUCUCAUUUAUUCAUAUUGCUUUCAUUUGCACGUGAGCAUGAUUUCUCACCGAGUCCACUCUCUUCGGCGCUCCCGAUUGAGACACCCAGAAUUGUUCUAGAAGCAGACAGAUGCAUCAUGUCGUGCCUCGUUGUUUUGGGCAAUAGGGCGUUCCUGGCGAACCUGGUGUUGAUCCCGAUUAAAGAGUUUGAUGUGGUGCUUGGGAUGGACUGGCUCAUCAGACACCACGCUUCUAUAGAUUGCGAGCGGAGGAUUGGAGGAUUGGAGGAUUGUGACAUUCGUGGUGCCCGAUGAAGAGGAGUUCGUCUACAAAGCAUGUAAGAGCUCCUUUUUCGCCAUGACUAUCUCUUCAGUUAGGGCAAAAAGGCUUAUGAAUGACGGAUGCGUGGCCUAUCUAGCUUCGGUGGAUGUCAUCCGCCGGGCGGCAACAGCGUUGGAGGAGAUUUCGAUGGUUCGAAAGUUCCCUGACAUAUUUCCAGCAGAGCUACCGGGGAUGCCUCCAGACCGGGAGAUCGAGUUCUUUAUUGCGUUGGUCCCCGGCACGACACCGAUCUCGAAGGCUCCUUACCGAAUGGCCUUCGCUGAGCUGAAGGAGCUAAAAGCUCAGCUCGAGGAUCUGCCGGAUAAGGGAUUCAUCAGACCUACUGUAUCUUCCUGAGGUGCACCAGUCCUCUUCGUCAAAAAGAAGGACAGUAGUCUGCGGCUAUGCAUCGACGAUCGGGAGCUUAAUAAGGUCACGGUGAAGAAUAUGUAUUCUCUUCCUCGGAUCGAUGAUUUAUUCGACCAGCUUCAAGUAUCAUCUGUUUAUUAGAAGAUUGAUCUGCAGUCUGGUUAUCACCAACUGAAGAUCCGAGCCGAAGAUGUGCCAAAGACAGCUUUCCGAACUCGUUACGGCCACUACGAGUUCACGGUGAUGCCGUUCGGGCUCACUAAUACUCCGACUGCCUUCAUGGAUAUGAUGAAUAAGGUCUUUCGGCUAUUUUUAGAUUAGUUUGUCGUGGUCUUCAUUGACGACAUUUUGAUCUACUCGUAGAGUGAGGAAGAACACAAGGAUCAUCUAUGACUAGUACUCCAGCUACUUCGAGAGAACAAGCUUUAUGCUAAGUUCAAGAAGUGCGAGUUCUGGCUCCGCAAGGUGUCCUUCUUGGGGCACAUCGUGACUCAAUCAAGUAUCAUGGUGGACCCAAAGAAGGUGGCUUCAGUGGUUGAGUGGCCUAGACCAACCACGGUGGCCGAGAUCAGGAGUUUCCUUGGUUUGGCAGGUUAUUAUCGGCGAUUUGUUGAAGGCUCUGCCAAAAUCGCCACAUCGUUGAACAGGUUGACGAGAAAAGGGAAAAAGUUUUGGUGGACUCCUGAGUGUUAGCAGAGCUUUAAGGAGUUGAAGGAUAGAUUGACCCGUGCACCCAUUUUGACCUUACCGUGACCUAGUAAGGACUUCAUGGUCUAUUGUGAGGCCUCACGGGUAGUAUUGGGGUGUGUGCUCAAGCAGUAGGACCGGGUCAUUGCUUACACAUCAAAUAACGUGGGUGACUUUAAGUGCUAUAUACACGGCUAGUUCAUCUAUUCUAUUACUAUAUACUAAAGUAGAACCCUUUAUGAACCCUAUGUGAGAAGCUGACACGUGGCUUUCUAUAUGCUUGCCACGUGUUAAGCUCAAAUAUAGAUUUUUACUAUAUUAUUAAAUUCAAAUGGUAGGUGGAUUAAUGAGAUAUUUGAGAAAUUUACGGAUAUUACGUUGCGAAAGAAUUGGCGGGUGCGAAUAUUACGCGUGAGAAGGAAAAUAUUUGAGAAACGCGUAGAUAGAAAAUAUGAUAUAUAUGCGAGGGUAAUAUUGUCACAAAAAGUAACAGAUACUUUUAUUUUCAAUCAUUAGAUAAGAUCUAACGGCAAAAAAUUUACGUUGCGAAAGAAUUGGCGGGUGCGAAUAUUACACAUGAGAAGAAAAAUAUUUGAGAAACGCGUAGAUAGAAAAUAUGAUAUAAAUGCGAGGGUAAUAUUGUCAAAAAAAUAACAUAUACUUUUAUUUUCAAUCAUUAGAUACGAUCUAAUGACAAAAAAUUAAUAUCUUUUACUAUAUUAUCAAAAAUCACAUAUAAUGAAGGGGAUUUUAUUUCAAAGUCACCUAUAAUUAUAUUGAGAUAUUUGAGAAAUUCACGGAUAUACGUUGCGAAAGAAUUGGCGGGUGUGGAUAUUACGCGUGAGAAGGAAAAUAUUUAUCUUUAUUUGAGAAUAAAUUAUUACUUACUUAGUUAUUUGAAAUGAUUGGUUGAAAAUUACUGGACAUAAAAAUAUUAGUAAAAAAGGAUAGGGGCAUUUUUGGAAAGAGAAAAAAAUUCAAAACUCACGCUUUUAUAAGUAGUAUAGAUAUAGAUAUUGCAUGUCACUUUCCUACUAUCACUCCUUCUAUAAUUUUCAUUUUGUAAUUUUUUUUUCCCUUUGUAAUUUUCUUAGUUCUUAAAUAUUGAUGCUUUAAAAUAGAACAUAUUAUUUUCAUUUUAUUAUUUAAAUACGAAGCAAGUAUUAAUUUUUUUUCUUGGAUGUCUUAUUGUUCUCAGGAUAUGGCACUUGGGUAUGAUUCUAUACGUAACAUCACUCCUCUUGGAGACAAAUGAAAGAUCAAGGUCAAAGUGAUUUGUCUGUAUACUAUGCCUGAAUUUCAUCGUCCAGAGGUGGUGAAUAGCCUAGAGUUAGUUCUUUCUGAUCAAAAUGUAAGAUACGACUUUCAUUUUCAAAUUGAACAUACGUUUGCUUUUGUUUUUACUAAAAGAUACUACAUCAUUUGUUUAUUUUCUAUUUUAGAGAGAUAGGAUACAUGUAACGGUAAGAAAAGCUUUCUUGAACAAAUUUAAAGUCCUUUUUACGGAAGGAAAGGUUUAUGUGAUCAACCAGUUUGGAGUGGUGCAGAGUAGCGGCUCCUACAGGACCACUAUACAUCCUUACAAAAUAAAUUUUCAAUAUUCUACGGUUGUAUGUGAGAUGGAAGAUGUUUUGACAAUAUCAAAGUAUGGAUUUAUAUUUACCCCUUUCGAUGAAAUACUUGCUAAUGUCGCUAAUCACAAAUAUUUAGUAGGUAAGAGUUGUUUCAUGCAUCAAAUAUUUAAUUUUUAAAAUUUAAUUUUUAAUAUGUGUACCUACUAUAUUGAUUCUUACAUUUUAUUUUUCUAAUUUAUCAGAUGUUAUUGGGAAGCUUUCUGGAAUUAGUAGAAUGGAAGAAAGCUGCAAGGACGGUAAAUAAACAAAAAAGAUUACGAUACUACUUGAGGAUGACAAGUAGGUGCUCAUAAUUAUAAAUAUAUCUUUUGAAUGUUUAUAUAUAUUUUUUUUCAGUUAGCUGAUUAUUAUUAUAAAUAAAUGACUAGAUUGACAGUUAUAUCCAAAACAAAUUAUAUUGUAUUUAUCAAUCUGAUAACUUUAUAAUACGACACUCAUGUCUACAUCUUAAAUAACGGUACUUCACGUUCUUUGAGAAACAUAGACAAGUCUUCAGGUUUAUGCAAUGGAACCAGAUUAGUGAUCACUCAAUUGGGAAAAUACAUACUAGAAGCAAAAGUGAUCUUUAGGAGCAAUAUUGGGGAGAAGGUGUUUAUAUCCUAUAUGGUGAUUACUCCAUCAGACUCUAAGUUACCUUUUAAAAUACAAUGAAGGCAAUUCCCGUUGGCUGUUUGUUUUACUAUGACAAUAAACAAGAGUUAAGGUCAAUCGUUAUUACAUGUUGGCUUAUAUCUACCUAGACCGAUAUUCAGUUAUGGUCAGUUAUAUGUUGCAAGGACGGAUUGAAUAUUCUAAUUUAUGAUAAAGAUGGUUUGUUAUCCAAAACCACAAGCAAUGUGGUUUUUAAAGAAGUGUUUCAGAACUUAAAAUAGGUGAGUGGUUUAUUUUUCUUCAUUUUAUUUCAAAAUUUACAAUUUUUCAACAAUUCAACUCUGCCAUUUUUUUAAAAAAUAAAUUUAGAUAUUUUUCUGAAAAAUUCAGUAAUAUUAUGAUAUUUAUCAUUUCACUUAUCUAACAAUUUAUCUAUAUUGUUAUUUGAGCAGGCACUUUCCAUCUUCAUGGAACAAAGUUUUUUUUCUUUAUAUUUUCUUGAAGACCAACAUCUAUAUAUUUUUGAAUCUUAAAAGUUUGUAUAUCUCUCAUAUAUGAAAGUUUAGUUGAUCUCAUUAUAUGCUUAAAUAUUAAUGUCAUUUGUAAUUUUUCAUAUCAAUUUUAGUUAUCAUUUUGUUUUGCACAUUAAUAUGUAAAUGUAAAUUAUUUUGUACACCAAUUCAUAGAUAAUAGAGCAGGGUUGAAUUUUGCUUUUUACUUGAGUAUUUACUUUGGUCUAUAAUUUUUUUCUCUAACUUUUGUACUUUAAUAUGUACUAAAAUUAAGAUUGAUAGUAUAUUUCUUUAUUUGUUAAAAAAAAUGUUAAUUAGAAUAUUUUUUUUAUCAUCACAUAAUAACUUUUGUUAUUUUAUAUUAUUAUAUUAUCCGUGCAUGUCACGCCCCGAGGUCCCUUUUAGUUUGAAACACAGCGGAAAAGAGUCUUUGAAAACCUGACCACGGGGUAUACCAAAUCCGCCACAAAUACAGAAAAUUCACCGUUUACACGGAUAGAGUCUCCCCUGUAUUUGCACGGCAUCGCACAAGUACAAAAGUACAAACAGAGUAUAACCAGGAUACAACCACAAUACAUGAAUAUACAAUACUCAACAUGCAUUCACCAUUCACCAAAUAUUUACCAUUCAGUGUUUAAAUAUAGAAGCCACGAGAAAACUCUUUUGAAAGCUGUUUUCCACACGGAAACCUUUUCUUUUUAAAACACGCUACCACGAGGGGUAGAAAACUAUUUUUCUUUUUCACAAAAUCCACGAGUUCUAUAGUUUAUUCAAAAUCACAUGAAUUCGAAUAAUAUAAACCAAUUGAACCAUGAAAUAUUAAAGCUAUUAAUAACAAAAGUAAACAGGAUAGGAACUAAACCAACAAACUGGGUCGGAAGCUCUAGCGACCACUACGAACGUGUCUCACGUCUCGUCUCAACUCUCACCGCCCGCGAUACUUGAAAAAUGGCGGGGGAGGUGAGAACAUGUAAACAUGUCUCCCCUCCCAGUGGGUACCAAAAGCCGAUGAAGGCGAGGAGUACUCACCGGAUCAGGAAGAGCUAAACAACAGUACGGGUCAGUAGAAAAUACAGCAGUGAUAAUAAUGAAUGAAAGAGACAUAUAUAUGAAAGAAAGUACAACUACCGCUACUGUAAUGAACAACUGAAUGUAUACCUGCAACAAGACUAUAGUAGCAAGAAAAUGUAACUAAAGAACUGAAGGUAUACAAGCGACAACAGCUACUAUAGUUAUAUGCGUCAACCAGACGAUAAGUCCAAAAUACCCAAUCUGUAAUGGCCGUAUUGGUACCCAACACCUCAGGCCAAUGCCCAUCUACUCUGACAGAAACAAGCCAUAUUGGUACCCAACACCUCAGGCUGAAAGCACAUAACCACACUAGGGCUCACGGGUUGACACAAGCAACCACUUUUCCGGAAAAGAACACCCUCUUGUGGUGGAUCAGACCGCUGGUGUUCAUGAAAUGCGACGAGUAUCGGGCGGUCAAUGCUGAUAUGCUCAAAGGCCAAACGUUGGCAACCAGCCGACAAUCCUGCCCACAGGGCUCAUCGACCGUAUAGGUCAUCAACUGUAAGGAAGCACAAGAACUGACCACUCAGGUCAACUAGGAUGGGACAACAUCAACAUCCUCUCAAACAUAUGCAAAUACUGUUCAAUGAACCACAAGAACUGACCACUAAGAUCAACUGGGAUAUAUGCACAACGAAUCGACGAAUAAAUCAUCAGGGUGUAUCAAUAGAAUUCAGAACUACCAUCGGCCACUAGCCAACAAUCCAACCCCUCUAGAGUACAUCGACCACGACGGUCAUCAAACGACAGAAGUCAAGGAACCGACCGAAUGUGUCACAACUACGGGAUACAAGAACAGACCAACCAGAUCACUGAUACGAAGUACGAGAACUAACCAACCAGGUCACUGAUACGAAGUACAAGAAUCGACCUACCAAGUCACUGAUAUGAAGUACAAGAAUCGACCUACCAAGUCACUGAUAUGAAGUACAAGAAUCGACCUACCAAGUCAACAGAUACGCACAUAGAUAGAACCACUCUACUCCUACUCAGGAUACUAAGCAUGCAAACAACGAGUAGAGUAUAAUGGAAUAACAUGGGUGCAAGGCUCAAUAUAUACUAUGCAAUAAUAACAACAGAAGAGUAAGGGUAAGAAACCAUCACCAAGCGUGCACCACUGUACCGACGUCGGAUCGAAGUACCCACCUGUACAAAUGUCGCACCUGUCUCCUGACUGCAAAAGAACAUCAACCAGACCUAAGGAGGGUCCACUGGGUUAGUUUCCAACCUACAAACAAUAAACGCUGAAUCUACAACUCCACAAACUAAAACCCACGGAUAUCGGUUUUCCAAAACCGAUUACCGUAACUCGCCGGAAGUCUCGAAAUCGCACCGGGACUCCGUAGGGACCCACGAACUGUCCCGGAACGUACCGACUCGUGCUACGAGUCAUCCGCUGCCACUAAACAUCAAUAAUCGUGCAUCAUGGCAGCAAACACCACUCCUCACGUCGAAACAACUAUCGUCGGAUAAUCGUUUCGAUCCGGGUUCCCGGAAGUGUCAAUUUCGACUUCGGAACCCACCGUCGCUCACCCGUCAUGUUUGAACUCUCGAAAUGACGCGAGUGACCAGCCAACAAGGCUCAGCGACUACACAAUAGUUCACGAAGCACCAUCGGAAUAAUUCCGAACCGAACUCACGUUCCGUCGGCGGAUUUCGCCGAAAAAUGCGCCGGAAAUGCAUUUCCAAUCUUCGCAAAGGUCUGGGGCGUUGGACAAUCAGUCCAGAGGUCACCCACUGUAACACACUGGAUCUUUGCAAAUUACGAGGUUCGAGUGUUUGGAUGUAUUUCGAGCUUUUCCACACUUGGUGGAGGGUUGUGGAAUGUUUUUCGACCUAAAAAGUUCGAAAAUCGAAAUUCUGGAGAAGUCCUGAGAGUUUUCACUCUCGGGGACCGGUCCCUGGGAGGAGAGACCGGUCCCCCAGUGAGCAGUACUGCGGCAGCCUUGAGGCAACUGGUCCCUGGCGGGCGAGACCAGUCCCCGAGCGCGUCUACGCAGUGAGAGACCGGUCCCGCGCAAGGAGAGACCGGUUCCCGAACGCUGGUUUUUCGGGUUCGCAACGAGAGACCGGUCCCUGCUGGGGAGAGACCGGUCCCUAUGGGCGAAAACUGCCCAGACCGGGCUGAUGUAAUAUUGGAUUUUUGUUGAGCCUCUUAGGAUUUUGUUACAAUAGAGGGUCUAUAUGAUCCCUCCACUCUCUCCUCUCCCCAUUUCUCUUCUCUCAACCCUCUCUACACCCUUGAUAGAGAAGAAGAAGAAGAAGGAGAAGAAGAAGAAGAAGAGAGGGAGAAGAAGUUUGGUGCUACUAGUGGACUUGGGGCAUCUUCCUCACCUUCUCAUCUUCCUUGGUGCUUGAAGGCUUGGACUUGGAGCUUGCAAAGAGAGAGAUCUUCACCCUUGGAGCUUGGAUUGGAGCUUCUAUGGAGGUUUGUUGCUCAUUCCCUCCCUCUAGACCUUGAUUUGAGGAUUUUUAGUAGAUGGAACCCUAGUUUUGAGACUUAGGGUUUAUUUUGGGCUUUUUGAACCUAGGGCUUUUGAGGCUUGAUUGGUUGGUUUAGAACCUUCCUAGGGCUUGGAUUGGAAGGCUUCUAGCUCUCUUUUGGAGCUUAGGAGAAGAUUUCUACUAUUGAGGUAAGUUUUGGCCCUUUUUGCUCCUAGGCUAAUGUUUGAUAUUAUAAUUAAGAUGGUCGUAAUGCCUUCGUAUCUCUUCGCUGAUUACUUUUAGGAUAUUUUGAGACUCGGGGACAACUUUGUUCGGCGAAACGAGGCGCUACGCGACGGUUCGAUGGGUUUGACCUAGCCUACACAUGAGAAAUUCUCAUAAGUGGUUAUAUAUGUUCCGUAAAUUGAAAAAGCAUGCAUAUUCAUACUAAAUGUAUUUAUUAUGAUUUUUAGAAUGCUUAAAAUGCAUAUGUUAUAUAUAAUGAAAUUUUGGACCUCUAUGUAGUAGAGAGUUGCUUGAGAGUGAGUUGGUUGCAUUUAGCAUUCUAUACGAGAUCCGGUUUCAUGUUUCUAUAGUGUAAUGAGUUCGAAUUCAUGCAUUUAAACUUAAGUUUACUUGUGACAUGAAAGAUGAUGAAAUUGCCAUAUAGAGGUACUGAGCUAGAAUGUAUGUGAACUAGCGAGCUAAUGUCAUCAAGCGGCAUUGAGCUCGGGACAUGUGUGAACCUAGUGGAUAGGGCCAUUGAGGGACUUGGGAUACAUGUUGGACAUCAAAUUGCCUAAGUGUCAUCAAGGGGCACUAGGCGUAGCAAAAGCUGAAAAUUCACAUUAUGCCUUAAACUAGAUCUUCGGGAUGCUAGUGACUAUACCAUGUUAGAGACAUGAGGAUUGGAUACUUGAGACUUGGACUUUGCUUGCUUGCCAUUUGUGCUCAUUCGCACAUGCUUGUGAGGGUCGCUCCCUACAAGCCGGCACUCCGGAGUUAGCCUACGCGACUUUUGUUCGCUCGUGCGGUAUUGAGAAGCCUACGGGGUCGAGUGGGACAGACACAUUCCAAGAGUAGGGAUGUUGGGCUACCACAGGCACUUAGGCGGCACAAGCUGGACUACCUUUGGUAGGUCCUUAAGUGGAAAUGGAAAUCGACACGGGGUUGAGAGUGGUUAAUCACUACUAGAUAGGUUAGUAGUUGAAUGACAUUUAUAUGCUUUUAGCAUAGGGUCGAGACAUGUAGUAUACUUGAUAGCCUCCUUUUGCAUUAAAGCAUACUUGGUUGCCAUGACAGAACUAAUGCAUAAUGUAUUCAUAAUGGUUAAUGAUUUACUAUUUUGAUAUCACAGAUGUACAUCACCUUGACAUCCGUUAUACUUGAGUUUGGUAAUUUAGCAUUUUAAUUAGGCUUUCAUAUCGCAGUCAUUAUUGCUAUUGUUAUUGUACUUAUCCUUUUCUUUUGGGGCCUAGUGGUGCAUUGAGCUGAGGUCAGUAAUUGCCCACUGACAACUAUAAACUAUAGUUCUCACGCCCUCUUUUUCUCGAUGUUUUUCAGAGCCUUCCACGCAGGGUGAGGCCAGGGAUCGCGGGAAGGGAGUUGCUACGAGCUAGCUUCCUUCGAGGACGAGUUGCUAGGUGGUCUACCUCUCGAUGUCUUAUUUUGUUUUGCGAGAGGUUGAGGGUGUUACCAGUGUACUAGAGACCACCAUUUUUGUACUAGAGACAGUUGUUGUACUACUUAUGAUUUCUUUUAUUGUCUAGUUUUACUUAAUUACUUUGGUGUAGAUGUUAGAACUUUACUCGCUCUGAUAUCAUUAGUUGCUAGUUAUUUCACUUCUUUUAUUUGUUCUAUCUCUUGCUUUACUUCCGCUUUUAUUGUAGACGCCUUAUAUGUGUAGACAUAUGGCGGGUCUGGGCACGCUAACCGGGAGGGCCUCCGCCGGUCCAGGGGCGUGACACCCACUGCUCACCCAUGCUGCCAACAGCAGCCACGAUGAACCAAAAUGCAUAAAAACGCACUCGAUUACCCGAAAUCAGUGGGCGGCGGCGGCGCUUGGAAGACGAGGGGACUCGGCCAUAGCCCGCACGGGUCUGGGCGGCCGCAGGAUGGAGGAGCGACGGCCGGCGGUCCACGGGGAUGGCCGGGAUGGCGAGCGGCGACGAGCGGGAGGUCGCCGGAGGCCGCUGCCAGAGGUGGUGCCCGAGGGUUAAGGUCACCCAGAUUGGUUCCACGGCAGGGAUGGUUGGGAAAGAAGGAUGGAGGGGUGGCCGGGUUUCAAGUUUUCCGGCGGCCGGGGCACCUGCCGGCGGCCAGGGUGCGCGCAAGGUUUGGGCAGGGACCUGCUAAAGCUGGUUAGGGCACAGUUGGGAGACAAGGUCGGCUAGAUCUAGGGUUUUGUGCAAAGAAACCCUAGAUGCUAAUUAUAUACAAGUGGACUAUUUGCAGAAAACCCCUCCAACCCAGAAUAUUUAAACCUCAGCCCCUGCCAGGGCGUACAAUUUGUGCGUACAUACCUCCACGUCCGAUCUCACGCGAUUCGGUACAUAAAAUGUCGCGCCUUUCACGGAUUUUCCGAAUUGCCACCUUCGACCUCUUAACGAAAACUUCGCAAUUACCAGAGAUCCGUCCGUCGGAUUUUUGAUCCGACGGCACCAUUGCGUUCAGCACGUCGGGGGCAUCAAAACUACAAUCUUAUUUCGUCAGAUUUGGUCACGGAUUCGCGACGGAACCCAUCCGCUCUCUAAUUAAUCCAUAUAUCGCACAUAUACCAAUGUGUAAACCCAUUAAACCAACUUUCGCAUUAGAAAUUGACUCCCAUACCACUAGUAGGGACCCGAAACAUUCUUCACCCUACUCCAGGUCACAAGCACGGAGCACGAGGAGCUUAAAAAUGAAAGAACAGUCAAGAACGGAAGUCCUCUUUUCGGUAAAAUCCCUUUUUCUCGGAAACCGCGCAUCAGAUCUGGAAUCCGUCAGUGCCAUUGGUUCCAGAAUAGCUGAACCGAUCAAAACGAGCUAUUGGAUCGCUAUGAACGGAGUCCGAUACGCGCCGAAAGCCAACUCUACUCCGUGGCUUCUCCGGAAAACCGGAGUUACUAUUCACUUUAAGGCCCUGUUUUGUAGUAUCCUCAUAUAUAUAUAUAUAUAUAUAUAUAUAUAUAUAUAUAUAUAUAUGGAUGCUGCCACGUACCCCCCUCCCAUGCAUGCAUGCUUAUCCAUUUUAAUUGAGGGUUGCAACCAACACCUCUUUAAUUAAAUUUCCUCCCUAUCUGUCUCUGGAGCCAUACGCAAGGAGGAGGAGCUUGGGUGGAGCGUUCGUCGCCGACGUCGCGUCGCCGAGCCGUCCGAGCAUACGCGCAUCGCCGUAGUUUAGCGAGGAGGCCGGGCGGGGGAGUGUUUUUGUCGUUCUCGACGCCGUGUCGGAAUUGGAGUCGCUGGUUGAGGUGGGUAAUCUCUCAUUCCUCCAUGGAUUUCUUCUCUACUUCAAGCUUCAUUCAAUUCGAGCUUAAGUGCUGNCUAGAGCGCAGGGUGGCUUUGAUGCCAUUUGGGUGAUAGUGGACAAACUGACCAAGUCUGCUCACUUCUUACCGGUUCAGACCAUCUGGUCCAGAGAGAGACUCGCGCAGCUAUACCUGGAUAAGAUCGUCAGGCUGCACGGCGUGUCAGUAUCGAUUGUAUCAGACCGAAACCCGAGGUUUGUGUCGCAUUUCUGGAGGAGUUUACAGACAACUUUGGGGACUCAGUUAUAUUUCAGCACUGCUUUUCACCCACAGACAAAUGGUCAGUCAGAGCGGACCAUUCAGACUCUAGAGGACAUGCUGAGGGCAUGUGUCCUCGAUUUUGGAGGAGGGUGGUAUCGACAUUUGAGACUGGUUGAGUUUGCGUACAACAACAGUUAUCAAACGAGCAUCCAGAUGGCUCUGUUUGAGGCGUUGUAUGGACGCAGAUGUCGAUCCCCUUUGUUUUGGAGCGAUGUGGGUGAGAGGAGGACAUUGGGGCCUGAGAUUUUGCUGGAGGCUGAGGAAAAGGUGAGAGUCGUUCGACGACACCUUCUGACAGUACAGAGCCGACAGAGGAGCUACGCCGAUAUUAGGAGACGAGACUUAGAGUUUCAGGUUGGAGAUCAUGUUUUUCUCAAAGUCUCGCCGUCCAGAGGGAUACGCCGUUUUGGAGUACGUGGAAAGCUUAGUCCACGGUUUGUUGGCCCUUUCGAGGUAUUAGAGCGUAUCGGACCGGUGGCUUACAGGAUAGCUCUACCCCCGCGACUUGCUGGCAUCCACGAUGUUUUCCACGUCUCAGCAUUGAGGAGAUACGUUUUCGACCCCUCUCACGUGAUUGACUUCACUCCACUCGAGAUUAGCGAGGAUCUGAGAUACGAGGAGCGACCGGUGCGGAUUCUUGCUCGCGAGACGAAAGAAUUGCGCAACCGGGUCAUCCCGUAUGUAAAAGUGCAGUGGAGCAAUCACGAGGAACGGGAGGCGACUUGGGACUUUAUUCUUGCUCCCUUCUGUAGACUUAGUGGGUGGACUGAUAUUGUUUUGGGCGGCACCCACUGAGGACUACUUGUUUCUACAGUAGUUCUCACACCCAGUUUUUACCCCGUUUUUGCAGAGUCUUCGUCUUCGGCUGCUGCUGUUGCUGGUCAGGAGCUAGGCAAGGGUGCCACGAGUUAGAGCCCUACCCGAGGAGCAGAGCUACAGGCACCCCUACUGCAGGUAGAUGUUUUAGUUUGGGUUCAUGUACAUACAGACUUUUAACUCGCCAGUGCGAGUAGCUUUGUACUCUGGGAUUCAGUGUAUGUAUAUGGAACUCGGUUUUUUUUACUUUACUAGUUCUUCUAGCAGCUCUAUACUACUGUUUGUAGUAUUGUAUGUUUUACAGGUACAGCUGUCGCUUCGUAUACAGGAAAAAUUUCUUUGUAUACGGCGGAUUUGUCGGCGUGUCGGGGGAACGUGUAAUCCGGGGCGUGACAUGUUUGGUUGGGGAACAAAGAUGGGGAUAAGGGGUUAUCCCCUCCUUGUUCCCCAAAUACUAUAUCUAAGGGUGGGAACAAGCUAUUCCCACCCUUAACGUGUUAUGCCAGAAUAACACGUUAAGGGUGGGAAUAGCUUGUCCCACCCUUAGGUGGAAUAGGGGUGGGAACAACUUGUUCCCACCCCUAUUUUUUUUUAAAAAAAUUAAAAAUUAAAAAUUAAAAAUUUUAAUUUUAAUUUUAGUUUUAAAAAUUUAUAAUUGGUAAUUUCAAAAUUUAAGUUUAUAGAUUUAAAUUUUAAAUUUUAAAUUUUAAUAUAAUAUUUUAUAUUUUUUUAAUAUAAAUUUUGUUAUUUAUAGGCCUUUUUGCAUAAAAAAUCCACUUAUUUUGGGCUUUUGCAAAAUCGGGUCAUUUUUUUCGUUUUUGCAGAUUCGGUCCAAUUUUUUAGUAAACUGACCAAAAUACCCUUAUUCUUUGUCUUUUAACUUCUUUACUCUUCCUUUCGUUUUUCUGUUUUAUUUUUUUAUUUUCGUUCUUUUUCGCGCCAUCGCGCGGAGCCCUUCCGCUUCUUUUAACGCAAACCCGAACCCUAUUCUCUCGCCCUGCUGCCCAGCGAGUCCACCCCCGUGUCUGCCUCCUCUUUCUCGAACUGCUCUUUCUCUCUCUUCCUCGAAGGCCCUUCCUCACCUCCCGAUCGCCCUCUCCUAAGCACCGCACGAAGCUCGGUCCUCCUCCUUCGCCCCUCACAGCGAAUCCUGCACGCAAAAGCGUCGUCACCGAAGUUGCAGGGGCGGAGCAAGCUCCUCGUCAAGCUCAAGGUCGAGGAGUCCCCGAUCGUCUCCCUCUUCACGCGAAGCUCCGCCGCCGAGCCCCUUCUCCUCUCCCCCACCGCCGCCGCCGAGCCCACCCCCACCGUCGUCUCCGUCGCCGUCGCCGUCGCUGAGCCCACGUCCCGGCCCUUGCCGACCGCCUCGUCACCCUCCAAUCGCCUCGUCACUCCCCUUGCUGAGCCCUCGUCACCCCCACCGUCGUUUCCGUCGCCGUCACCGUCGUCUCCGUUGCCGUCGCCAAGCCCACGUUCCAUUAAUGGUGUAAUGGUGCACCAUUGCACCAUUACACCAUUAAUGGUGUAAUGGUGUGCACCAUUACACUAAUGGUGCACCAUUACACCAUUACACCAUGAAAUUACACCAUUAAUGGUGUAAUGGUGCACCAUUACACUAUGAAGAAGAAAAAGAAGCAGCCGCAGCGCGCCCGCAUGCCCGCCCGCUGCCGCUGCGUGCACUGGCCCCGCCGCCGACCCGGCCCCGCACCGCGGCUGCGCGCCCCGCGCCAGGAGCAGCCCGCGAUCAGCACCUCCCCCGCCGCCCCGAUGCCUCAAGCGGCGUCGUCGACCCGCGGCCCGGGGGCUCGACCUUGGCGCCGAACUCCAGCAGCAGCUGGACGAGGUCCGGCCGGCCUUGCGCGAUGGCCGAGUGCAGCAGGCCGACGCCGGACGCGUCGACGGCGUCGGCCGGGCGCCAAUCCGGGUCGCUCCACUCCAGCCGCCGGCGACGAACUCCGCAACCUCUUCCUCCGCCGCGCCGCCGACAGCGACGACGACCGCGGCGGCAGACGAGGGGCUCGGCGACGGAGACGACGGUGACGACAGCCAUGGGGCCGUCGCCACCAUGGCCGUGGGGUCGGCGACGGCGACGGAGACGACGGUGGGGGUGGACUCGGCGGCAGCGGCGGGGGAGAGGAGGAGGGGUCGUGGGCGGUGGAGAGGAGGGUGAGGAGGGAGGCAACGGUGAAGAAGGAGGGUGAGGAGGGAGGCGACGGUCCGAUCCGCCUCUUUUUUUUCGGCGAGAAAAAAAAAAGAACGACAGAAACGAAGAGGAGAGAGAAAGAGGAAAGAGAAAAAGUAAUAAGGGUAUUUUGGUCAGUUUGCUGAAAAAGCGGACCGAAUCUGCAAAAACGAAAAAGGUGGCUCGGUUUUGCAAAAGUCCAAAAUAAGUGGAUUUUUUAUGCAAAUUGGCCUUAUUUAUUUUUUAAAAUUUAAAUUUGAUCUUAAAUUUUAAAUUUUAAAAUUUGAAAUUAAAAAUUUAAGAGUUUAAUUUCAAUUUUUGAAUUUUAAAGAAAGUAUUUUUAGGAUCACCUUGCUUGUUCCACCAGUAAAAUUUAAAUUUUCUAAAUUCAAAAAUUAAAAUUUAUAAUUUUAAAAUUACAAAAUUAAAAAUUAAAAAUUUAAAUUGUUUAAUUUAAAAUUUUAAAAUUUGAUAUUUUAUUUUUUUGAUAUUUAGAAUAUGAUAUUUUGUAUUUUUAAAUUAAAAUUUCAUCUUAAAUUAAAGUUCAAAAUUUAAAAAAUUAAUUUUUUAAAAUUAUAAAUUUGAGAUUUUAAAAUUUUAAAUUUAAAUUUUAAUUUUUAAACUUUAAAAGUAUAUAUUUUAAAUUUUAAAAUAUAAAUAUAAAAUAUAAAAAUUUAAAUUCUAAUAUAAAGAAAAAAAUAAUAUCAUUAUUUUUUAUUUAUAAAUACUCACUUUAAUUCUUAUCCCAUCUUACCUAACCAAACGCUAUUUUUCUUAUUCUCAGGAAUACUUAAUUUUCAUCUAAACGCAAAAUUCAUCUAAUCCCCGUUUAUACCUCAAUUUAUACCUAUCCCCGGAAUAUCCACUUUUUGCUUAUCCCCGAACCAAACGAUACCUAAGUGAUUAGUUUUAAUCGCAUAACUACUCCGUUCUAACUCAUUUUCUCCUGAAACUUGACGAGUAAUUUAUGUAAUUAAAUUACACACAUAAACAUCAUCAACAGAGAGUUUAGUUGCACUGUAAAAAUCUCAGUCCUUACAGUGCAUCGCACGGGUCAAAUACUAGUUAGCACUAAUAACUUGUGCAUGAGCAUUUGGUCCAGCGGUUUCAGCCCAACAAGUUGCUAGAGCUAGUGGGUUAGGUCGUUACAUAUUAGAUACUCAAGAACUUACAAUUUGGAACAUGAUAUAUAUAUAUAUAUAUAUAUAUAUACAUAUAUAUAUAUGAGUUGAGCUAGAAUACUAUCGGUAGUAAACGAGUGUUUUACUACCGAUUGUUUUCGAUGAUAGAGCUUCCAAAUUGACGAUCGGCUCCAUUUUAAUUGAUCUAAACAUUUAAACUACUAGAAAUCAAAUUUCACGGCACUUUCGAUAUUGUUCUUUUAUCAUCAAAGUGAACAGAAAAAUGAAUGGCUGAAAUGAAUACUCUUUAAAAAAUGAUGAUAGGAGUCUUGUAAUCAAGAUCAGAGUAUAGAUCUUGUUUUAAAGUUUAAAGAAUUUUUAACAAAAAUUCAAUUUAUUUGGAUAUCUUUACGCCGUUAAACGAGAAAACGCUCUUACUCGACCAUUAAAUUACAAAAUUUGAAACCCUUUGAUCAUUAGGCAAAUGAUGUCGAAAGAUUUGAAAUUUGAUUUCUAAACAUUUCAAGUGGUAUAGAUCAUAUUCAAGCGGAGCCGAUCGUCAAUUUGGAAGCUCUAUCAUCGAAAACAAUCGGUAGUAAACGGCUCGUUUACUACCGAUAGUAUUCUAGCUCAGCUCUCUCUCUCUCUCCUUUCUCUCUUCUUCUCUCUCUCUCUCUCUCUCUCUCUCUCUCAUAUAUAUUAUAUAUAUAGGAAAACUUCAAAAACCCCCUUGUGGUUUCGUGCAUUCUCAUUUAGUACCCUGUGGUUUAAAACGUAUCAAUUUGCCCCCUGUGGUUUCAUUUUUAUCUUUUUCGGAAGCUUUUUCGUUAAUAUUUCGUUAAUUAUAUACAAAAACUUCAGUAACCAUCUAUAUUUAUCGAAUUAUUCACUUUAGUAUCCUUUAAUUUUAACUUUGUCACUGAUUUUUAACCCCCCCCCCGCCCACAACAUACACAACACACACACCACACACACACACACACACACACACACAUAUAUAUAUAUAUAUAGUUUUAUUGGUUUACAAAUUCAUUAUAAUUAUCAAAUGUCUUGUGGUAAAAAAGACUUUUCUUAAACAAGUCACUUGAACUUUUGACGUGUAUAAUAUCACAACAUCUGAGAUAUAUUUUAUUUUGCUAGUUUGUUCAUCCUUGAGCUGAAGGACUAUAAGAGAAACUAUUAGAUUUUUAUUGGAUUUUGUGAUUUAAAACUUAUUAAAACCACUUGAGGAGCCCAAUAAUUAUUUAUGGGCCUCUUGGGAGCCCAACUUAAAAUAUCCAUGUGAGAUGUUUAGUCCCACAUUGGAAACCAAAAGAGUCUUUGUUGUUUUUAUAUAUUGCUUUAUUCUCAAACUAGUUGUUUGGAAGAAAAUAAGAGUUAUGCUCUCGUUUAUGUAUACGCGCGGCAUGAGCCAGGCCGGGCGAGCGGCGGCGUGCGCGGUCCAUACACCCGGUUCAUUUUAUUUUGUCGGUUUUAUCUUUAUUUUAAUACUUAUCUUUUUACUAAUCCUAAUCAUUAUCUUUAUCCGUAUAAUCUUAGGCUUAUCUUGUUAUACACGGAUUUGACGCGUUGAAGCAAGAUUCUCGCCUAGAUUAUAAAUAUGAGCAAGGUUACACGAGUUAAUUAAUAACCCGAACGUACCUCAAGCCUCUCGUCUUUUUCUACUUUCUGGAUUUUCGCCGUGUAAGGACUAACAUUUUGAUAGUGUAGCUGAACUCUCUGUUGACGAUAUUUUUGUGUGUAAUUUAAUUACAUAAGCACUCGUCAAGUUUCAGGAGAAAACGAGUUAGAACAGAGAAGUUACGCGAUCAUUAGUAUUCACUUAAGUGAAUAGUAACUCCGGUUUUCCGGAGAAGCCACGGAGUAGAGUUGGCUUUCGGCGCGUAUCAGACUCAGUUCAUAGCGAUCCAAUAGCUCGUUUCGACUGGUUCAGCUAUUCUGGAACCAAUGGCACUGACGGAUUUCAGAUCUGAUGCACGAUUUUUGAGAAAAAGGGAUUUUUAUCGAAAGGAGAGUUUUCACUUUUUGCUAGUCUUGCAUUGUGAAACCCCUCGUGCUCCAUGCUUGUGAUCUGGAGUUGGGUGAGAGAUGUUUAGGGUCCCUACUAGUGGUAGGGAAGUUAUUCUCAAGUGCGAAUUAAGGUUUAUCGGGUUUACACAUUGGUAUAUGUGUAAUAUUUGGAAUUUUGGAGAGCGGACAAGUUUCAUCUCAUCACGAAUCCGUGACCGAUCGAGAUGAACCAAAAUUGUAGAUUUGUUGUCUCCGUCGUGUUGAUCACACUGGUGCGAUCCGUUCGCAAAUCUGACGAACGAAUCUGCAGAUAUCGCGCAUUAUUUGAGAAGGGGUCAGUGUUGGCAAAACGGUAAUUUCUCAAAAGUUGCGACAUUUUAUGUACCGAAUCGCGAGGGAUCGGACGUGGAGGUGCGGGCACGCGAUUUACUAGCGCUGUGAAGGGCUCGGUUGUAAAUUUUCAGUUUCGGGGGACUUUUGUGCAAAAUUACCAUUUGCAUAAAUAGUGCAUUUAGGGUUUUCUAUUCUAACCCUAAACCCAGACCUAAUCAGCCGAUCCCAGUAGCCUCCCCUCCCUAUCUUGUGUGCGUCGCGCGCGCCCCAACCGCCAACGCACGCCGCCGGCUGCCGGAGAAGCCGCUCUCCUUCUCCUUCAUUGUUAAUCCUCCAAGAUGCCCUCCAUCCAUGCUCGUGGAACCUACCAGGGUGAUCAGCACCUUCGGGCAUCACCUCUGGCAGCGGCCCCGACCUUCGCCGACCCGCCGUGCCGGUCGCCGCUGUCUCCACGCGCCGUCGUCGCGGCAUGGGCGCCCUACGGCCGAGCUGGAACAGAUCGGGCCGAGCCCAGGACAGCAAUCAUUUUGCCCACUGGUGCUGCCUGGAACCGACCGCGCCACCCUUGCUCCGCCGAGGCUUGACCUCCGGCGCCGUCGCCGCUGUCCCCACAAGUCGCAGUAGCCGCUCUUGCUCCCUGCGGCCUCCCAGAGCAAGCUGGGCCUGAGCCCAAGCUAGCUCGCCAUCCGCGCAUUGCCGCCGCCUUGCGCUGGCCGAGGCGUCUCCAUUUGGCCUUCGGUGAACCAUCGUCGCUGCCCUGAGGUUCCCCUAACAGUCGCUGUGGCCGCUGCCGCUGCUCCCUGUGCCCGAGUCGAGCCCAUGCGGGCUCGGGAUACUCUAGCGCCGCCGCGGCUGCCUCCCGCCAUCGGCCGGUGUGAGCGCCGGCCUCCCAUGGCCGGCCGCACCCGUCGGCCNGACCGGCGUGAGCGCCGGGCCUCUCUGGCCGACUGCACUCACCCACCGCCAGCGCCUAGCCGCCGGAGCUCCCUAUUGGCGGGACUCGACCCAUGCUCUCCUCGGGUUAGUGGGGCUAGGGCAUCAGUGCCCGUCAUCGCCGCCACCUCCCGACGCCGGCCGACGUGAGCCCCAACCCUUAUCCGUCGUCAGCACCCUCCUGCUGCCGGAGCGCUCGCCGCCCAGCUGUCGCCGGCCAGCCCUAGCUCUUCCCUGGCCGGUAAGCUUGAUUUCAGCCUUUCUGCGCAUAGUUUCCUGUUCUCGUCACUGUUCCGGCGACCCGAGGCUGUUCCGAUGCCUCCGGGGGUGAGCACGGUGAUCGUCUGUCAGUCCUGAUCACAGUGCUCACCUCAUUUAGAGUCAACGAGCCCCUGGUUAGUGAGAUAAGCAUGCUUUUCCUGCUGUGCGCGCUAUUUCACUAAUUUUCGCAUCGCUCGUGUGCGUGCCACAGUCGGCAGUGCUCCAAAAGGUGAGCACGGUCUCCGGCACGCCGAUACCUGUCAGUAGGUGUCUCGGUUUAGCUGAAUGACUUCUGGUUUGUGUAGACGGACCAUAAAAGCGCUGAAAUCACAUAAAAUAAUGUGAUUUCGGAUAAUCGGAAGGGCUUUUAUGCAACUUCGUUCAUCGUGGCUGCUGUUGGCAGCAAGUAUGGGCUGAGGAUAACCUCUGGACUGAUCGUCCAAGGCCCCAAGCCUUUGCGGGAAUCAGAAAGUGAUUUUCGGCGCGUUUCUCGGCGAAAUCCGCCGACGAAAUGCGGGUUCGGGUCGGAAUUAUUCCGACGGUGCUUCGUGAUAGAUUGUUUAGUCGCUGAGCCUUGUUGGCUGGUCACUCACGUCAUUUCGAGGGUUCGAAAAUGACGGGUGAGCGACAGUGGGUUCCGGUGUCGAAAUCGACACUUCCGAAAAUUCGGAUCGGAACAAAUAGCCGACGAUAAUCGUUUCAAUGCGAGGCCUUGUGUUGGCUGCCAAGAUAAUCAAUUUGAUGUGUUUUGUGGCAGCGGGUGACUCGUAGCACGAGUCGGUGCGUUCCAGGACAGUUGUGGGUCCCGGCGGAGUCCCGGUGCGAUUACGGGACCUCCCGCGUAUUACGGCGAUUGGUUUGGGAAACCGAUUCCAGUGGGUUUAUUUGUGGGGCUGUGUGUUUAGUAUUUCUUAGUUGUGGGUUAGAUAUUAACCCGGUGGACCCCCCGUAGGUCCGGUUGUCAUUCUUUCGCAGACAGGAGACAGGCGCGAUAUCCUUACAGGUGGGUACUUCGAUCCGACGUCAGUACAGUGGUGCACGCUCGGUGAUGGUUUCUUACCCUUGCUCUUUUGUUAUUAUCCAUGCAUAUACUAUAUGUUGAGCUUUGCACCUCUAUUGUUUACAUUACACUCUACUCAGAUGUUCCCAUUCUUCGUAUCAGGUGUAGGAGUAGAGUAGUCUAUCUAUUUGUGAUACCUAUGACCUGGUUGGUCGAUUCUCGUACUUCGUAUUAGUGACCUGGUUGGUCGAUUCUUGUACUUCGUAUCAGUGACCUGGUUGGUCGAUUCUCGUACUUUGUAUUAGUGACCUUGUUGGUCGAUUCUCGUACUUCGUAUUAGUGAUCUGGUUAGUCGGUUCAUGUAUGUCGUAUCUGUGACCUAUUGCUCGGUUCUUGCAUCUACACUUUAGUUCACCCUUGAGCAGUAUUUGCAUACUUCUGAGAGGAUGUUGAGUUGUUCCAUCCUAAUUGACCUGAGUGGUCAGUUCUUGUUCUUCCUUACAGUUGAUGACCUAUACGGUCGGUGAGCCCUGUGGGCAGGAUUGCCGGCUGGUUGCCGACGGUUGACCUCUGAGCAUAUCAGCAUUGACCGCCCGAGACUCGUUCGCAUUUCACGAACACCGGCAGUCUGAUCCACCGCAAGGGGUGUUCUUUUCCGAAAAAGUGGUUGCAGGUGUCAACCCGUGAGCCCUAAAGGGGUUAUAUGCAUGUUAGAGCGGCAGUGGUACUGUCAGGAGGUCUCCAAUGUGAACCUCCAGGGCACAGGCUUGAGGUUCAGGUGUGGACCAACAGAGCAGCAGAUUUCAGAUUGGGUAUAUUUGGUCUAUACAUCCAGUUGACGCAUAUGUCUAUAAUAGCAGUCGUUGCAUGCAUACUUACAGAUUUUACUUUAUAGUUGUCUUGCUACUAUAGUAGAUAUUCAUGUAUGCUUUCUGUUCUAGUUAUAGUAGCGGUAGCCGUUAUUCAGUAUAGUUCCUACUUUCUUUCAGUUUAUUGCUACUGUAUUCAGUAUAUCUGCUCAUUACCUUAUUUAUCUCUUACUGAUCCGGUGAGUACUCCUCGCCUUCAUCGGCUUGCGGUACCCACUGGGAGGGGAGACAUGUUUACAUGUUCUCACCUCCCCCACCAUUUUUCAGGCAUUGCAGGCGGUGAGAUUGAGACGAGACGUGAGACACGUGGAUAGCUGUCGAUAGAACUUCUGGCCCGGUUUGUGUAGUUUAGUUACUACCUUUGUUAUUUCUGUUGAUAUGACUUAGACAUCUAUAUGGUUCAGUAUUUUAUUAUGUUUAAUUAUUCAAGAUUUCAGUUGGUUUUCCGAAUGAGAUAAAGAUUUCUGGAUUUUUGUAAAAAGGAAAGGUUUUCUACCCUUCGUGGUAGCGUGUUUUCAAAAGAAAAGGUUUUCGUCUGGGAAACAGCUUUCAAAAGAGUUUUCUCGUGGUUUUCUUGACUUAGUAUUUCAAAAUAAGUUUUCGGGUAUGAAACGUUUUAAUUGAUAGUUGUGGAUUUAUAUUCAGAUCUCUGUUUAUGAACCUGUGGUGAAUGGUGUAUGGAUAUUGAAUGUAUGAUGACUUGUAUAUUCAUUUAGUUGUGGUUGUAUCCUGUUUUAUAUCUUGUACUUGUGCGACGCCAUGCAAAUACAGGGGAGACUCUGUUCGUGUGAACAGUAGAAUCUCUGUAUUUGUGGCGGAUCUGGCAUACCCUGAGGUCAUAUUUUCAAAAAAAAAAAAAUUCUAAUCACUUCCGCUAUAUUUUCAAACUAAAAGGGACCCCGGGGCAUGACACGCCGAGUUCUCUUUUGCUGGAUCUGAAGCUGGUUGGGUUCGUCUUGCGCUACCUUGGAAGCAUGCCGACGAGGUGCAACGUAGUCGUUGUAUCGCUAGGAGUAAUUAUCGGGAAGCCUCGCACGUGGAGAGGGCAAUUUCGCUUUUAGGACAGUGCUCUGCACGCCUCGAUCCACAGGCCUUAUCUAAACCUUUUUUUUACCGCCACUACAACAAAAUUGCUUUUUAGCGGCAAUUUAAUAGCGGUGAUUAUCAAACGGCCACUAUUACUAUUAUCUUACAGUACUUUAGCGGCAAUUGUUUUAAAAAAUAUAUUUUUAUCGACUAAUAUUUAUAUAUUAAAUAUAAUCUAACCCAAUCUCAACCCGAUUCCAACCCAACCCAACCUCAACCCUAUUCCAACCCAACCGCCUGAUUCGCUCGUGAGCGACCUAUUCUCUCUCUGCCCUUAACCUCUCUUCGAGCUCCGAUCUUCUCGGCCCCGACCUCUGAGCUCAGAGAAGACGCAAUUUAAUGGCGUCUUCUCCGAGCUCCGAUCCCAAUCUUCUCGGGCCCGAGUGCUUCAAGAAGAUCUGCCACCGACGGUGUCGCCCUCGGCCUCCACCUCCACGAGCGCGGCGGCGCUCCGACGACCUAGAUCACGGACCCCUAGAGCUUGCGCACGGUUAAGCUCGCGAUGAGGGCCACGGCGAGGAUCAGGAUCACCCACUUGACCAGAGCCCCGAAUCUCCACCGCUGAUGCCGAUUCGCCUUCGCGUUGAUCUACUGCUCCUUGUAGAUCUCCUCAUCCUCCUCUUCCUCGUCGUCCGCGUCAAGUAACGGCGUUUUGGGGGUGCCCAGGGAUGCCCUAGGGUUUGGGUAGGUCGAGCUCGGGGUCGGGGCCGCCGUGGAGGAGUGGGGAGGGUGAUCACCAAAGCGGGAUUUGGGCUUGGAGAUGGAUCUGCGGCGGAUUACGGUUUUGGGAUUGGGGGGUCACGAGGGGCUUUCUAGGGCUCGGCGCCUUGGCGAUCUCCGGGGAGGGGUUUCCGACGUGCGGGGGCGAUGAUUUCGGUGGCGAAUCCUCGAAACCUUUGACAUUAGCAGAAGAAGUCGGCGCCGACUUUGCUGCUGCUGCUGCUUCGCCGUUUUGGAUUACGACGACGACUUCGCCUUGCUUUCGAUCAAUGCUGUUGUCUUUGUGAGUAUCGUCGUCCAUGGCCAAUGAAAGAGACAAAAAAAAACCCAAAAAAAAAUAAUCCUUGAGAAGCGCUUCUGAGUAGUAGAUUUUUUAGAGAAGUGCUUCUACAUUUUGAUGAUCAGCUCCUUUUUUUACAGUGGCCAAUUUAUUCAGGACAUUCGAUCACAGUUGGAAAAUGACUUCAUGAAAUCACUGCAGGCUGAGGUUCUAUUUAAAUAUUGCUUGAUAAAUUAGUAGUAUUUACGUGCUCUUUUCUAACUUUCAGCCAUUCUAAUUGUUUACAGGUAACAGAUGAUUAUGAAGCGGAAGCUAUUAGACCAUUGUCAUGGUAUCCAGGGAACGUUGCGCGGCAUUUGAACUUUUCUCGUAUGCAACUUAGAAAGAACCAGGCACUUGAGAGGUAAUUUGUAACGUAUCGAAACCCGAAAACGAUAAUCGAACUUUAAUCAAAUUUGUUAAAGUGUCGAGAGAAACGGAUUGGUGAGUUCCAUUUUGCAUUCCAACAAGGUUGGAAGGACAAAAAUGAGUUUAAGAAGUGUUGGAAUGGUUUUGGCAUCGAAUGGCGCGAAGUUGAGUCGAAUCGAAGCCUAAAACAGCAUUCUGGAGCUGUUGUACCGGUACAAGGUGAUGGUUGUACCGGUACAACCAGCGCAAUUCGAGCUGAGUAGCUCUCGGGUUGGUGCAGUCCAGGCCUUGUACCGGUACAAGACCCCUUGUACCGGUACAGACCCUGCGCACCCGAGAGGCAGCUCUCUGGUUUGGCUCACUGUUUGGCCUUGUACCUGUACAAGAAUCCUUGUACCGGUACAAGAGGCCCCGGACAGCAUUUUGAAGUCUGAUGCAAAUAAGACUUUGUGGGGGGUUUGUUCGCAAUUGUUGCAACAUUUUAUGAGCCUAAGCCCUCUCCCUUUCACAGCACACUCUCAAACACACUCUCUCUCUCUUAUUUAUCUCUUUCUCUCUCUAGAAAAACCCUAGGGCUUGGUGGAGAAGGUGGAGAAGAAGAAGAAGAAGUUGGAUUUUGGAGGCUUGGAGGCUUUGGUGGCUCUCCAACAAGGUGGAUUUUGGUGAGCUCGUGGCUAAGGUGAGUUUAUUGCACAAGAGAGUCUAGGGUUUGGUUUUAAACCUUGGGAUUUAGAGUUUUGAUCCUCUAAUUAACCUAGAAAUCCUCUAAAGACCAUAACUCCAUGAAAAACAUGGAUUUCUUGGACCCCUCUCAUGGUGGAUCACUAGGGCUCAAAGUAGAUGCCCUAGGGAUGGUUCUAAAAGUUUAGAAACCUUAUUAGAGAGCUUCCCAAGUGAUUCUAAACUUUCUUUUGCUUAGCAAUGAGAUCAAUCUAGGAGAAAUGCAAAAAUGGCUCGUUAGGGCAUCCCAAAAAGGGGUUUUGCCCAAGUUGGGUUUUGAUCUAUUUUGAUCAUGCGGAAACCCAAUUGAGGGUAUUUUAAACGCGUUGGAAUGCUCGGUUCGACAAUCCGACGAGUGUAUGCAAAGUUAUUAACAAAAAUAUCAUUUUCCGUACAGAUAGCCGCAGCACGCGGAUUAGGGCUUCAAAAAUUCCAAGAAAUUCACCGAAGUAUCCUUGUAACCAUCUAAGGUGGGUGGUGCAUUCCAAGGACAUCGGAAAUCUCUCUAUGUCUAAGUGUCAUAUUUUGAGCAUAUGUGCAUUUUUGAGCAUCUUGCAUAAUAGGGUUAAUUGUGAGUUUUGCUAUAGCCUAAUGUAAAUUCAAAUGCAUGUUAAAUGUUUGUAAGAGUGUGAGAAUGAUGAUCCCUAUGUAUGCAUGAUUGUGACAAGAACCUAGAAGGGUUAGUAAACGAAAAGUGACACUUGACAUAGAUCUAGCAAGUGACAUCGACGAGUCUAGAAUCCUUAGUAAACAAGUGUGGCAUUUUGCAUGAGGACAAGAAUCUAGAACUUAGAGAACAAGUGUGGCAUGAGUUCAAGAACUCGAUAGUGUAUAUGACAUUAGAGAUAGUAAGGAAUGCAAGAACAAGAACGAUUGAGAUAUUUUGACAUUCAACCUUAGUGUUAAGGGUCAUUUGAGCAUAGUCUUCCUUAAAGUUAAGGAAUGGAUUGAACUUGGAAUCCUCAAAUGUAGGAUUGAUCGUACUCACUUUAGUCCUUGCUCGAGGUUGUGGUAGCUCCCCCUCGGGCGAUGUGCUCCGGAGUCGACAUCACUGGGUUGUAGCGGGUAUCUCCCCAGAGGACGGUCCCAUCGGGUUGUAGCGGGUAUCUCCCCGAUUAUUGGGAUUUUGAGUUGGUGAGUUUGUUGAGGGCGAAACCUACGGGUUAGCCAAGAGAUUGGGUAUUGACACUAUGACCUUGCAUUCAUCAUGAGCAUUAUAUUGUGCACAUCAUUUUAUAUUGUUCAGGCAUAUUAGUUGCAUUUGCUAGUUGGUUACUUACUUUCCUUUAUUCUAUUAUGCCUGAUUAGACCUAGUGGGAUAGUCGGCGUGGUUAGUUGUCGAACCCACUGGAAACUUUGUUGUAGUUCUCACACCCCUAUUUCCACAGAGCCGGGACCCAGCGAGCCGGCAGACAAUCACGGUAAGGGCAUCGCGUCCUAGGUAGAGACCGCCUGAGACAUUUAUCUAUUGUAGUUGCAUACCCCUUUUGUUAUAUGUCAUCUUUUGUACUUGAUGAUUUAGUUGUUAAAGAAAAGAACAUGUAUGUUGUGAAAGAUCUUUACAUUUAAAUACAAGAAUGAUAUUUUGAGAUCCUGUGAUGUAAAAGUAAAGAAAUGAUGAAAAAAUGUAAUCGAUCCCUUAAGUGUAGUUGUUUACUUUCACUCUUGGCUAUUGCUUGCCCUCGUGCAAGCCAUUGUGUAUGCUUUCGCUUAUGCAAUUUCUAUACUCUAUCUGUACCUGUUGUUGAGCCUUGGGCGGACAGGGGAGGCUCUGUCCGUUUGGCGUCUGUUUCACGCUCUCGAACCGGCCAUAAAGGAUCGGGCUCGGGGCGUGACAUAAUUGUUAUUGAGUAGACUAUUUUUAUGCCAAUUGAAGUACAGUACCACGAAAGGAAUUUACAAGAUUUUCUUUUAAUGCUUCAUUUGGACGAUAUGUAUUUUUAGUUGUACUGCUCUCUAUUCAUUUGGACUAAUGUAGAUUUUCUUACAUUGCACUGAUACUUUAUGAGCACCAAUUUUGGGAUGAUUAUUUUUGUGUCAUUCUUGUGAAUGUGAAAUUUUAUUGUAAAUUGGCUAUUGUCUAUUUUGUUAGUCUUGUUUAAUUAUGCUACUUAAUGGCGAAUUCCAGGUUCCAUGAGUUUUUAAAGCAAGAGAAUGAGAUUGGAAACAUAACAAGGCAAGAGGCUGUCAGCAUGGUGGGCAUCUUCAAAUGGAUCUGUUCAAGAAGCUAUUAUAUUUUUAGUAUUCGUAGUACUUUAUUAUAGAGCUUAUAAUUAUUUUAAAAUGUUUGCUGCAGGUUCCUCCACUUUUCCUUGAUGUACUACUGGAUCUCUAUUCUUGACAGUAUGUUCUAUCUAUUCAUCAGACAUCUUACAUUUUAGUCUUCCAAAUGCAAUCCAAAUUAUUACAAAUUAUUACAAUCUUAUUCUUUUUCGUUUCCUUACAUUCCUAAGUAGCUGACUCAGGAUACCGCUAUCUCUGGUCUCGGUGGUAGGGCACUAACUACGGAGCUACGCCCUUUCCUCGCGCCACCGCGCCGCUCGCGUGUGAACCUGUACCCCUAAAAACAACACGGGGGGUGAGAACUAUAUAAAUAUAGUUUCCAGUGGGUACAGCCACCCAAGGGAAAAGCUCGACCCACGACGUCCAAGGAGGCACUACAAUCAUGUUAGUCCAACAGAUAUCCACAAGUAUUUUAUGCAACAUUAAAAUACAUGAAUGUGCCUCACAAUAUGCAAUAUGAAAUUCAUGCAACUAUGCAAGUAGAUUAAACGAUUUUACUCUCUAUCAUUGCCAUUCUUUAUUGUUAGACAUUCUUUACUAUUUGCAAUCCUUUCUUAUUAGCCACUUUUAUUCUUAGCCAUUCUUAUUCUUAGCUAACCUUUAUUCUUAGCCGUUCUCUAUUCUUUACUAAGGGUUCUCACACCUUAACCAUAUCAUGCUCAUUUGCCACUCUUUCAUAAGGUUACUCUUACCUCAGUCACAUUAUGCCACUCGACUCGGUCUUGAGUCAAUCAACUGCGGAUAAUCCGCGCUUUGUCCGGCUCGAGGUGAAAGAACUCUCACAUAUACCUCAGCCAACCACAGCCUACCGCGCUCCGUGACUUAGCCAUCCGGCGGCGAAACCAUCGCACACGCCAUGACAAUGGCUCAAGUUAACCGGCGGUAUAAUCCACAAACCGGCUUAACUAUCCGGCGGUGAAAUCGUUGCACACGCCACGACAAUGGUUUAGCCCCGAGCGGCGAAAUCAUCACACACGCCCCACACCCCUCUCGGUGUGAUCCAUAAGUCCUGGGAUUCCGGAAUCCAUUUCACAUAACUCAAGGGUUGGUCUUAACCCUCUAGUAUCGACCUAUCUAGGUCCAAUGUCCCUUCCAUCCUAGGUCCAAUUGACUCUAGGUUCAAUUCCUUUGUCACAUAACCUAAGUUUACAUGACUCUAGGUUCAAUUCUCAACCUAUGUUCUUUAACACUAGGUUCAAUGCCACUCUUGACCAACCUAUAUUUAUUAACACUAGGUUAAAUGCGACACAUGUCCAUCCUAGGUUCACGACACUAGGUUCAAUGCCACUCGAUCUACUUGACACUCCACUUGUCCACGUUGAGUAUCAUAGUUUACACAUUCUUAACUUCCAAUGUUGCAUUCUCUAAUACACCUAGAGUUAUCGACCUGUGUUCAACUCAUAUGAAUCAAGUAUAAUAUACAACUUGCCAACUUGCAUGUUAUUUAGCAUUUGUAUCUUAUAUCAAUAUGCAUUUCAUCUAGCAUAUAUUACAACAUGCACAUCUCAAUUAGCAUUCUCUACAACAUGUCAUUAUGCAUUCCGACUAGCAUGUUCUUAUAAUGUUUACAUGUAUAGGUCAUUUAUCUUUUGCUCUCAACUAGCAUCAUUCAUAUUAUGUCAUCAUGCAUUCUUUGGUAGCCUACUUAACAUUCACCUCAUGCAUUCAUAUAUUUUACCACUAGCUACCAUUAUAUGCAUCAAUAUGAAACCAUAUUUUCUUCGACAUGAAGGCGACCUAGUCGCUUCGGUAAACACAACCCACCUCAAUUCGCACUCCGAUUGCUUAUAGUCACUUGCAAUCGGCCUCCCGCGGCACCCCUUGCCCGGUUCAGCCCGAACUCGCACUCGACCACCAAACGGCCACCAAUCCACAAUCCGGAAAUUAAAGGUCUAUAACUUGAUGCCACGAUAUUCCGGAUCUGUUUUCGUGAUUUUUAGACGUCGCCUCGGCCCUCCAGGCGGAAACAAAGCCAAAAUGUCCGUUUCUUCAAUAUAUUCGCGUAGGUUCGAUGAAUCGCCGAACCGUCUUCACCAACGCGUCGAAAAUACCUUCAAUUAGGUUUACAAAGGGUCAAUUUACAUUUAAACCCAACUAUGACAAAAGCUCUAAUUUUGGUGCCCUAACGAUGCCAUAUGCUCAUUCCACCAUUUCGAUCUCUAAGGCAAGCAAUAACAAGCUUGGCCAACAUCUAGAAGCUCAUUUAGAACCAUUUAACCCAUUCUUAGGGUUUCUAACACAAACCCUAGAAUUUCACCAUGAAAGCUCUUGAAGUAAUCAUGGAUUUCAUGGUGUUCAUGGCCUCUAGAGGGUUUCUCUACAUGUAAGAAACUCAAAUCGAAGAGUUCUAGGGUACAAAACCAAACCCUAGCCUAGAUCUUACAUGAAAACCUCACCUUUGCCCAAAGCUCUCCCAGGUCCACCUUGUAGGAGAGCUCAAACCCUUCAAAUCCUCCAAAAAUCUCCAAACCCUUCUUCAAUCUCCUCCAAAUCCACCUUGUUGUAGUGCUUCUAGAGAGAGAAAGGGAAAGAAAUGAGUGUAGGAGGGUGUUCUUCAGCUGCUGUGAAGGGAAGAGGGUGUUGGGGUCUUAUAUAGGUUGCUACAAUAGCAACUAAGCCCCCCAAAUUCCCGUAUUUGCAGCAGACUUUCUUUUGCUGCCAGACCCAAAGUGUACUGGUACAUAUUGGCUGUCACCGGUAACACGAUCGCUCAGAGGCAAACCCGAGAGCUCUCCCUCUCGGUCUGUCGUUUUGUACCGGUACAACAUCAAUGUUGUACCGGUACACUUUGUCCAGACUACAAUUUUAGCACUUGUUCGACUUCUCUUCGCGCCGAGCAAUGCUAAAAUCCUUUUAACUCUUUUAGAACUCAUUUUUAACUCUUCCAACCUUGUUGGAAUACUAAUUGAAACUUGUCCAACCAUCUCUUUCGCACACUUUAGUCAAUUUGACUAAAGUUCGAUAUUCUCUACAGAGUUUUGGUAUGUUACAUUUCGGGCGCGAUUUCAAUCCAAUAUGCAAAUCCCUUGUAGCCAAGAAAGAAAACAAAACGUCCGAAUAUUCACUGGCACGAGAAGAAGCCAGUUCGCCUUGAAUGGCCUCAUACCGAGUAAGAAGCCAAGGUGGGCCAGUGACACGCUCGGCAAACGAAGACCAUGAAAUAAGGAAAUGAGGACGCGAUUCAUAGAAAAUUAUGAAAUAAGUGGCAAAAUCAAAAGGGUGAAUUGACGUUAACGGCUGGGGACAGCCAAGAGCUAAUCCGUAAAUGUCAAAAUGAGGAGCCGAGUCUAGAAUUAAAGGAUCUCGCCACAAAUUAGGAAAAUAAAUUUGCAAAAACAUUUGCAAAAACCAGAAAACACCACCACCAGAGCUGAUGGUUAAACCCUCUCCAUAAGGGAUCGGUUCGUCAGUAAAGGAGUGACCAAAGAUGAACCGAAAAGGGUUCGAUGGGACAAAUUGCCUAAGUAUGGUAUAAUCUAAUGACGGAGAAGAAGGAAGAGGCGAAAGUGGCGCCAUUGUUAAAAUGAAAGAAGAUAGCGAAGAAAAGCCCUAAGAGUCGAGAGUGAAAAAGGGGAAAAGAAGACAAAGAAGCAGAGAAGAUGAAGAUUCAAGCCAGAGAAAAGGAAAAACGAAGAGAACGAAGAUAGGCCAGAGAAAAGAAAAGUGGAAGCUUGGCGAAGAAGAAAGAGAAGCCGUCGCGUCGAAUCGAUUUCCGAGGCUGGCUAUAAUGAUGAAGAGACGGCGGCAAUUAAUAUGACCUAAUUAAUGCCGCAUAUAAGACAAAAAGGAAUGUUGAGAUCGUGGCCGUAGAGAGGAAAAGAACGGCUGAAAAGGAACCGUACAAAGAAUUCGAAUUGACAAUAUCGAAAGACGCGCCUUUGAUUACGCCAGCUACCGAAGCGUCUGUUCGAAAGCUGCCAAGGGGGCAAAUUGUUAAGCCAAGAACACGCGGCCAUAUGGUAUGCUGAUGCACCGUUCAACCCCAAUCUUUAAAAGCAAUGAUUAGAGAAAAUCUUGGUGUGCACCGGGAGCAUCGACAAUAUAAUUAAGUAACCGCUAGGAUUAAUUGCAGGAAGUUACAGUAAUUGCAGGCGGUUACAUGCAGAUUUGAUUGGCCUGAAGUGGCCCGUAAAAAUAGGAUAGUGGCCGAUCAUGGAUGGGGCAAUAACUGACUAGCAGAGGCAGACUAUAAAUAGGCAAAUAACGCCUAGAAAAGGAGUCUUUUCCCUGAGAAUAGAAGACCACCUUUAUUUCCUCUGCAUUUUUCUCGCAUUUUCUAGGAGUAGUCUACUUGUAAUCUUUUACUUUCCCGCACUUACUAUUUUUCUAGAAGUAGAUUUAAGUUAGAUCAACCGAGUCUGUAUGCUCUCAGACACACUCAUCCCUUGUACUAGUUUUACAAGUUAAUUCCAAUAUAUAAAGGCAUUCGGCUUUUCAGCCGACCAAAAGUACAGUGUAUUCCGUACAUUCGGCUCAUCCAGCCGAACCGAAUCUAUAGUAGGAGGUUCUGAACUCGGCUGAUCCGAUCCUUCAUCAGCCGAAUCGCUUGAUCCAGUCGAAGGGUGCGAACUUCGAAGGUAACUAAUCGUAGCCGUUUCAUAUCCCCACACGCUUCCCGAGAGAGAUCUUUGACCGGUCAAGGAUCAGGGAAUUCGGCUCCUAACAAAAUGGUAUCUCUCUAACUUCCAAUUUGUUGUAUUUUAUUUAGUUAAGUUAAUUUUUUUGUCAUAUUUUUAUUAAUUGUUACUUGAUGCUAUCUUUUUUUUUGGUAAAUAGUAAUGUGUUUCAUUUUUUACUUCUCUUGUUGAGAACUUGAAUGUGUCUUAUCAUUUCCUUUCAAUCAUUUACACACAAGAUGGGAUGCAAUUGUAAUUUUACUAUUAACAUAUCUAGUUAUAGAAUUUAAUAAAAUAAAAUUGAUAUUUAAAUUCCAUCGAGAUCUUGUGUCGACCUUCAAGUGGAAGUAUGUGAUGUACAAUAUAGUUUAAGCCAUAAUUUUUAUUUUUAGAGUCUACUUAACUACAUCAAGUUGUGGUUGAUGGACAAAUGAAUAAUAUAAAACGCAUCUUUAACUGAUUGACAGCACUUAAUUUAACCCAUUUUGCAAAGUACUUUUUUUUGUAGACCCGACAAUUGGCUUUGGUUAUGUGAUCACUUUGAGUCGGAAGCCUUCAAAGUAAUACAAUUUGUUAUUUCUUUAAUUUUGUGGUGAACAAUAACUAUAUUAUUUCAAUUAUUAUGAGUAUGUUAAUAUACAAAAAAUUACUUGUAUCAAUAAAAAAUAUAUAUAGUUAUUACACUUCUUAAUAUAUGGAUACUAGUGAUAAUUUCUUAAUUCUUCUUUAUAGAGGCGUUCAAUGGCCAACUCCAGUAACCGAAGAAAAUUACCAUAUAUUCAUCGAGCGGGUACUAGUAUCUUUGUGGCUACUCGGCAUAAAUUGGUAUAUUUUAAAGUUUUUAAUAUAGCACGAUUUAUUUUUUAUAAAUUUUACUAAUGUGUUAUAUUAUAAAACGGAGCAUGUGGUGAGAUUGCUUUAUUCAAAGGAUAUUAUCAUAAUGGAAAAGGAUGGGCCAAAAUUGCCUUAUUCAAGGGAUGCUAUCAUAAUGAAAAAUAAUGGGCCAACGAUGAGGCUAAGAAAAGAUAUGUUAGUUCUCACUAAUUUUGAAUAUAUGUUAAUAAAUUAUUAUGUAAAAAAUAUAACUAAUAUUUUUUAUAUUCAUAUGUGUUAAAAGUGUUUUAACUGUGGUUAACAAAAUUUUUCUAACGGACUCUAACGGCAGGGACAUAUCUGAAUACAUCAAGACUUUUGCAGGGAUAACGUAUGAAAGUUGAGCUUUGCAAGGAUAUAUUUAUAAUUCACCAUAUUUGGAGGGACGUGUAUGCAAUUAAUCCUAUAACAAUACAAACAUAUAUAUAAGAAAGAGAGAGUAAGGUAAGUGCAUGGAUAAGUGAUAAAACUUUACGCGGAUAGCCAUUAUCGCGAGCCAUUAUUAGUGGAUAAAUUCACCAUAAAUAAGCUUUUCUCAAUUACUUUUAACAUAGUCCCUAUACAUUUUUUUUUUAAUGUUUUUUACUCAAACACAGUAAAUAUGUUAUUAUUAUUAUUAUUAUUAUUAUUAUUAUUACUACGUGUUACGAUUUCAUCUCUAAAGGACUACUAUUUUAAAUUUUUCCACAAAUAUCUUCCACGAUUCGUAUAUUUAAUAACCGUUUAGUGUUUUCGAAAUAGAAAUUAGAAAAAUUUUAUUCUUAUUAUUUAAUAUUAUUUUGCAUGAUAAAAUCUUUUAUUAAUAAAUAUUAUAAAUACAUGUCAAAUUUGCUGAAAAAUUAUAAUUUAAAUUUAUUUAUCCAUUUCAGACAUACUAUAACAAUUAUAAACUGAAUUUAAAUUUCUCAAAUUUUUAAUAUCUAUUUCAAAAUAUAUUAUAGUGCAGAUGAGAUAAAAAGCAAAAUUACACCUUUUGUUCUCAAACUUUAAUUUAUUAUAAUUUUUGGCUCAAAAUUUUGAAUUGUUAUAAUUAGAAUUUACAAAUUCAAUUUAGUUGGUUAAAUAUUGAUAGACUAAUAAUGUAGAAAUAGCGUGAAAAUAUUAUAGUUAACGAUGUGGCAAUAAUUGAAAUACUGUACCACUUCCACAUCAACAAUUUAUAAAUAUUUAGAAUUGUAAUAAUUCAAAAAGUUUAAAUAAGAAAUUAUAAUAAAUUUAAAUUUUAGGAUUAACACUACAACAGAAUUAGGUUAUAGGGACACAUGUGUCACGCCCCGGGGUCCCUUUUCAGUUUAAAACAAAGCGGAAAAGCGUCUGAGUUUUUUUUUUUGAAAACCUGACCCCAGAGUAUGCCAGAUCCGCCACAAAUACAGGGAAUCCACUGUUCACACGGACAANAAAACAUCUACUAAUGCCUAAAUAUAAAGCCCAAUCAAACCAAGAAUAAAAGAUUACUCUACUCAACCCACCACACCCAGUCCAUUUAGCCCGAUUACAAACAGAAAAGAAAAAAAAAAGAAAAAUCAAUUACUAUCUUUUCUUCUCUCUUCACUCAAUCCAUUGAAAUUCUAGACGAAGAGCCUUUUCUGUCGUUCUCCUCCGCCACGGCAGCCAACGAGAUAGAGGUUCGGCGGUUGUUAAAUGCUUAAAUAAGUGUUGGUAAAUUAGCAGCACUCUUUUAGAUUAUAGCGACACUCUUUAACUAUCACUAUAUACCUAGUGACCCCACAUAUAGCAACACUUUUUAAAAGUGUCGGUAAUUUUAGCUAGUAGCACUUUUUUGACAUGUACCUACAUUUAAAAGUGUCGUUAUAGACCGUUUUUAUUGUAGUGUAAAGUGUCAUGCUAUUCAUAGUUUGAGGACUAAGUGUAAUUUUUCUUGAGAUAUUUAAAAAAAACUUUUAUGUAUAAUGGACCAAAUUGCAAUAUCUGGAAAGUACGGGGAGUAUCCUUCCAUUUCAUCCGUAAUUAAGUUUUCGUUGAAACGGAAACGGAGCCGUCCUCGUCCCCCGUUUCGAGGCUGCGGAGGCUCGGAGCCGAAGCUCCAGGCUAGGGAUAGGGAUAUGUGGGCCCCACCAUAAGCGGCUGUCGCGUGCCGCAUAGAAGGAAUCGCCACGGAGAAACAGGAAACAUGGAAUGGGGGAUUACAAUCCCCUUUUAAUGAGAAUGAAGUUCCUAUGACCGAGCAAGAAAUUUGUGCUCAAAUACUUGGCACUAGAUAUGGAUACAUACCUAGGCGAGGACAUGGUCCAACACCUAAGUCACGACAUGAAGUUUCGAAAAAUCAAUCAUCACAAUUGCAGGAAGAAUUGACAAACACAAAAACUCUUCUUGAGACCCAACAAUCUCAAAUUGAGACUCAACAAUCUCAAAUUGAAGUUUAACGUAAGGAGAUUGAAUGGUUAAAGACUAUGGUGCAACAAAUCAUUCAAAUGCCACCAAGAAAUGAAGAUUUUGGACCAUCUACUACGUGGUAAAUAAGAUUUUUUGAGUAGUUUUUCUUCUUUUUUUUUUAAGUCAUUUGUUGUCAAAAUUUUAUAUACUUAUAAAACUAACUAUACAUAUUAACUAUCUUCAAGUAAGUAUUUUAAUAAAUUAAAAUGACUUGUUUAUUUGCUUACACAAAAUAACAAAGUCAAUGAAUAUUAAUUUAUUUAUCUAUCUUGUAUUAUUAUCUUAGUCUUGAAAUUGUAAAUGAAUUAUUUAUAUAAAAUAAUAAUUAAUUAAGAAAACUUUAUUAUCGCAUUAUUAAAUUUUUUUUUACUUUUUGUGCAGAAAUAUGCGAAUGGACUAUAUUGGAGCAAGCCAAGUACUAAAAUAUCUUCUAUUGGAAUGUCGGUAUUUUUGUUGAAAAAAUAUUAGUGACCAUGUAUUAGAAUGAUUAAUCAAGAGUUGAAUAUUUUAACUGUUUUAAAAUGAUACUUAGUUGGCUAUAUUUUGUUUAUUUGGAUUUGUAAAGAUAUUUUGAAUGAGAAAUACAUUUUUUUUUGUUUGUUUAUUUAUGUAUGAUGUUUGAUGAUAAUUUGAGUUGUUAAAUAUAAAAAAAUGUCAUAUAAAUAGUGGAUGGAUAUUGCUGCAGGAUUGAUUGCUGAAACUGCGACCAAAUUGUUCAUUGCUAAUAUAUAAUUGGUAGUAUAUAUUGACAGAUAAAUUUGCGACUAUAUUAUUGGUCGAAAAAUAUUUGUUGAACUAGUUAACUUGUAAUUAAAAUUGCGACAAACUAUUAUCGUCGCCAUAGUAUCAUAAAAAAAUAAAAUAAAAUAAUUAAAAAAUAAUGGCUUUUACUGACGAAACGAUAUUGUUGCAAUUAGGUUAUAUUUAGUUACGAAAAAUAUUAUUCAGAUGUAUAUUUAGCAACAAAUAAUUGGGCCAAUAGCGACCAUUUAUAUUGUCGCUAUUGGUACAUUUAUAGGGACAAAUCUUUUACUGUCGCUAAAUGUAGCAGCUAAUAGUGACCGACUUUACUUCGUCGCUAAAGAGUUAUAGCGACGGGGAGGUAGCGACGAAGCAGCGACGAAGAUAGUUUUGUCGCUAAAGAAUAAUAGCAACGAAAUGUCGUCCUAUAGCGACAAACAAUGUUGGUUACAAAAGGCGUCAAUUUUUGUAGUGUCAGUAUCAACCUGCGCAAACUCGAGAGCAUCAAUUCUGCAAUUUCACUGGGGUACCGGUACUUCUCCCCAGGUACCGGUACUCAACACUGAAAUCUUGCACUUUGCAGAUUUCAGUGUUAGAACUCCCCUUUCGCAUCACGCUGAGUCCGUUUUGCGUCCAUUCCGCGCCAAAACGACUCCGACUUGUCUCGACACCCACCAGAUGUGCCGACAAGCCACAGAUGCUGAAGUCACACAGACCGUUAAACACUAGGGACACUAUAAAAUCAGGCGAAACAAAAUUGUAAUUUCGAUAAUUCGGCAGUGCCGGAAGCGCUGGCACAGUCUGUUUGCAAAUCCGAUGGACGGAUCUCCUGAUAUCGCGCGAUUACCGGGAAGGGUUAAAAAAUGGCGAAUUGAAAGAAUUCACAGAAGCCCUACAUUUUAUGUACCGAUUUGCAUAAAAUCGAACUUGGGGGUGUGUUCGCGCAAUUUUCUCGUGCUGUGAGGGACUUAGCUAUUACAAAUUAGAGGACUCAUUUGCAAAAUUGCACCUAUAUAUAUAUGGCCAACUAGGGUUUUGUUGACCCAAACCCUAACCCUAGCUUGCCACCCUCAGCUGAAACCUACCAGCUACCUCACUACCCUCCCAUUCCUUUGUCGCCCGCACCCCGGUCGUUGUUGUGCACCUCGACUGCUGGAAGUCACCACCUCUCUUCCUCUCCCUCACAUUUGCUUUUUUUUCCUCCAUCUUUGCUCGAGAGCCUGGCAGGGUGAUCCCCCACCCUUGGGCCAUCUUCUAGUACACCACCGGACCUCCGAGGACCUCCCCCGCCGACUGUUGUCGUCCCUGAGUGCGGCCACCGCGAACUUUACAGCCUACAGCCAGCCUAGUACUGGUGCAGCCGAGCCUUACAGCGCCGUCCGGCCACCGGCAGCCAUCCUCCUUCCCUCCCCUCGACUCCAGGGAAGGCCCAUACCCUUCCUCUGGCAACCCUAAACCGCGCCGUGGCUGGAGAAGCCACCUGAACCCUGCGACGAGCUUGCUGAUGUGGUUUUCGUGUUGCCCCUUCCAGCGCGCGCUGCCGCCGCGCCGCCUCUCGCCGCCGACCAAUGCGAGCGCCGGCCCUCCCCCGCCGGUGGCACCUGCCUGCCGCCGACGCGCCCGCCUGCCGCCGGCGCGCCCGCCUGCCAUCGACCGAGCCCUAGCCCGCCCUGCCCUGGUGAGUCCAUUUAAGGUUUUUGUUGGGGUUUUUGGGAUGUUCUCGCUGUUCCUGCGAGCCGAGACUGUCCCGAUGCCUCUGGAGGUGAGCACGGUGAUCUCUGGUCAGUGCUGAUCAUGGUGCUCACCUCAUUUGUAGUUAGCGAGUCCCGGAUUCGCGUAUUCUGCCCGGUUUGCCCUUCGGACCGUGAGUACGGCCUUCGGCUUUUUGAUACCUGUCAGCCUGUGUCUCGGCUGACCUUGAAAAUCCUCGAUUUGCGGUAACGGUCCAUAAAACUCCGCUUUUCACAUAAAAUAAUGGAAUUGUUUGUUGUUUUAGGGGCUUUUAUGCAAAAUGCCAUCCUGCUACUACUACGGGCAACUUGUGUGCAUGGUGAGCGACCUAUGGACUGAUCGUCCAAGGUCCGAAGCCCUCCGCGGAAAUCGAAUAUCAAUUUCGGUGCAUUUUUCGAUGAAAUUCGCCGGCGGAAUGCGGCUUCGGUUCAGAUUUCAUCCGACGAUACUAGAAUGCCCUGUACCUUAUCUCUGAGCCUUGUUGGCUGGUCAUCAUCGUCAUUCUGAGAGUCCGGAGACGACGAGUGAGCGACGGUGGGUUUCGAGGUCGAAAAUUGACACUUUCGGAAACCGGGAUCGAAACGAUUAUCCGACGAUAAUUGUUUUGAUGUGAGACUUUAUGUUGCUGCCUAGAUAUUCAAUAUGAUAUGUUUUGAGGCAGCGGGUGGCUCGUGGCUCAAGUCGGUAAGUUCCGGGACCGUUAGUGGGUCCCGGCAGCAUCCCGGUGUGAUUUUCGGGAUAUCCGGUGAGUCACGGUUAUUGGUUUUGGAAAACCGAUUCCACGGGGAAACGUAUGGGGUUGUGAGUUGUAUAUUAUGGAUUAGUAGGAUUGGACACUGACCCGGUGGACCCUUUGUAGGUCCGGUUGACGAUCUGAUCUAGUUUCGAGAUAGGCACGACAUUGGUACAGGUAGGUACUUCGAUCCGAAGUCAGUCUAGUGGUGCACGCUCGGUGACGUUCCCUCUACCCUUUCUCUUUAUGUUUUCGCAUUACCCACAUUAUUGAGCUUAGCACCAUAUGACUUCAUUACUUGUUACUCUGCUGAGUUACUUUUAUAUUCGAUUAUCAUGAUCUAGGAGUAGGGUGGUUAUUGAUUAUACUUGUGCGUGAUGUGACACCAGUUGUGACCUAGUUGGUUGGUUUCGAGAUUCUGCUUGUUUGAUGACCGAUUCGGUCGGCAAACCCUGAGGGGUUGAUCGUUGGCUACUUGCCGACGGUUAUUGAUCAUAUUUUCAUCGAUCGCCACUGCUCGUAUGCAUUUCACGUACACCAGCGGUUUGGCCACCGCAACGGUGUUCUUUUCCGAAAAAGUGGUCGGAAACACCAACCCCUGAGCCCAGGAGCUUAUGCUAAAGUUAUAUGUCAUUUAGAGCGACAUGGCACUUGCCUAAGGUCCUUAAACCGACAUAGCGGAUUCUGAAUUGGGUAUUUUGGACUGAUUGUCCGAUUGAUGCAUGUUAUUUACAGUAGAGGUAGUUGUAUAUACACAUCUUGUUUCUUACUUGACGUUGCUACUGCAUUACCUUUCAUAAUUACCUUUUUGGUUACCAGUGAGUACACUCGCUCUCGUCGGCUUGCGGUACCCACUAAGAGACCUUUGUUGGUUUCUCACCUUCCCUAUUUCAGGUGAUCUUGGAGGUGCGAUUCGGGACGAGGCUUGACGCACAUAGCUAGUGAGUGGUAUAGGUCCCAACCUAGUGGUAUUUCUGAUUCUAGACCCUAUUCCCUACUUUUGAUGAAUAACUACAAUAUUGUGGUUCAGCUCAGUUUAUUCAUGUUUCGCUUUACUUGGAAUAUGACUUUGGUUUUGCAAUCUUAAAUAAAUUAUGAUGGAAAUGGUUUUUUACCCCUCGUGAUAGCUCGCUGUUAAAAAAUAAGGGUUUCCGUGUAGGAAACGGUUUUCAAAAAAGUUUUACAGCUUUUUGUGAUUUUAGUAUUUCAAAAUAAGUUUUCGGGUGGGAAACACUUUCAAAUGAUAGAUGUGAAUGUAUGAAUGUAAUUGUGAAUGUGUUGUGAAUGGAUGUGACUGUAACUUGUAUGAUGUGCGACGCCGUGCAAAUACAGAGAAAACUAUGUCCGUGUAGAUAGAGAAUUCUCUGUAUUUGUGGUAGGUCUGUCAUUCCUUAGGUCAAGGUUUUCAAAAAAAAAAAAAAAGGGCACUUUCCGCUGAUCCACAAACUUUUAAGGGACCCCGAGGUGUGACAGGAAUCCUAUCCUCCAUUUUAUAGAGUUGUUCAAUUUACACCAUUCACUGUUUGUUUAGUGCAGCAGAAAAUAAUUUAUGAAAACUUCAAAUUUUGGAAUUAUUAGAAAUGUAAAGCUCAAUAUCUAGAGGAAAGAAAAAAUUAUAAAAAGAAAAUAGAUACCAACGCAUCCAAAGGAAUACUUCAACUUAGAUGUUUGUCAAAAUUAAAUAAGAAAAGUAGCAGUAGAGUUCAUACCGUCCCACUGGGAAGCUCUGCUAGAUAAACUUUACCCAAUCUACUCUCUCUCAUCAAAUUAUCUUCUCUAAAGCUGUUUGUGUAUUGCUGAAGGGAUGAAACAGCAAAGGAUGACACAGAUGUAGGGGCAUUGACUUUCUCAGGUGGAGCGUUCCUCGUGGCAUAUUCAGGUGGUGCAACUGGAUUUACUAUAACCCUCUCCACAGAAGCAGGUGGCGGCACAAGGUUUACUGUUACUCUUUCCACCGGAGGUGGAGGUGGAGGUAGUGGCAUGACAAGUUCGUCGGUCCCUUCCAAAUCGAUUACAUGAUCUAUUUUCUUGUCUGACGUGCUCUCUGAAACUGCCAAAAACAAUUAGAAGUUAUUCCCUUCAGAGAUACUUAUAAAUACACCCUAAGUAAUCUAUUUAUGACCUUCAGAAAUAGUUUCCUACAUGCAUGCCCCUGUACAAAGUACAAACAGUAAUGCCUCUCUCUAAAAGAUUGUUAUACAUCAAAACCAGCUAAAAUUGGCGAACCUUCAAUUUAAGAUAAGGGGAUUUCUUUUAGAAACUGCACUUGCUAGGGAUGUGUGUUAAAGAUCAGAUCCUAUUCAAAUAUUUAUGUAAAUAGAUGAUGUUGUAUGGAUGUAUAAGUAAAGGAUCCUAUUAAGUCUAGACUAGUUAGUAAAGAGACCCACAGAUCACGUACUACCCACUCCACUCUUUGAUUUUCAGGUCGGUUAGCAAAUCAGCCUCGCAUCCUAUCGAUAGCGAUUUAGAUCACCUCCCCAACCAAGCCUGCCUAACCUAAUUCUUUCUGGGAAAUCGAUCGUGACAAGUCGACCUAAUGAAAGCACCUGUAGAUUUUAGAUAGAAGCCCUUUGUCCACCGCUGGACUCAUCCUCAAUGCCUAAAAUUGCCUAGUUCAGUCGCUUGUCUGCCACUUCCCAUGCCCGAGAUUCCCUUAUGGGUAGCAUCCUAAAAAAGAGAUAGCUUUGUGGUCAACUUCUAUUCUGCUUGUUGGAAGCUUUUUCCGGAUCUCUUCCCGGAUCAACCUACUCAAUAUCCGAAAGAGGGUAGGCUUUUUUGGCGGCCGNAUAUUUUUAUUAUUUAAAUUUUAGCAAAAUAAAAAUAUAAAUGCGAGCUUAAUUAUAAAAAGACUUAUUUAUAUGUAAAGUUUUAACUAUUAGAUAAAAGUCUAAUGGAUAAGAUUUUAUAAAUUUAUAUCUUAUAUAUAUUUAAUCUAAUUUAUUUAAUUUAUUAUUCGUUGGCCAGCUCGUAAGCCAGCUCGUGUUCGGCUCGUUUACACCCCUACCUAUAUCUGAGUAGCGUGAUUUAGGAGUAGAGCGGUUGAUGAUUAUCUCGAUUCAUGAUAUGACAUCAGUGUGACCUAGUCGGUCGGUUGAGAUUAUAGUUGAUGACCUAUUCGGUCGGCAUACCCUAAGGGUGUGAUUGUUGGCUACUUGCCGACGGUUAUUGAUUAUAUUUGUAUCGAUCAUCACUGCUCGUAUGUAUUUCACGUACACCAGUGGUUUGGCCACCGCAAUGGUGUUCUUUUUCAGAAAAAUGGUCGGAAUGAGCCUAGCGGCCCACUACUAGGGUUAUAUGCCAUUUAGAGCGGCGUGACACUUGCCUAAGGCUCUUAGAUCGACAUGGCGGAUUCUGUAUUAGGUACUUUGGACUGAUCGUCCGGUUGACACAUGUUGAUGUACAGUAGCGGUAGCUGCAUUUAUAUACCUUGUUUCCUCACUUUACUUUGCUACUGUAUUACCGUUUAUAGUUACUUUUUGGUUACCAGUGAGUACACUCGCCAUCGUCGACUUGCGGUACCUAUUGGAAGACCCUUUGUUGGUUUCUCACCCCCCCAUUUCAUGUGACAUUGGAGGUUCGAGUCAGGACGAGGCGUGAGGCACGCGCGUAGCGAGAGUAGACCUCUCAGCUUGGCUAUCGUCGUAUCUAGACUCAUCCUUUUUUUAUUUGAAUAAUAGAUUAGAUAAUUGUGGUUCAAUUUAUCAUAUUUAACUUGAAUUGGUNACAUUGGAGGUUCGAGUCAGGACGAGGCAUGAGGCACGCGCGUAGCGAGAGUAGACCUCUCAGCUUGGCUAUCGUCGUAUCUAGACUCAUCCCUUUUCUAUUUGAAUAAUAGAUUAGAUAAUUGUGGUUCAAUUUAUCAUAUUUAACUUGAAUUGGUUUUUAUUUUAUCCUGGUUAUGACUUUUAAUAUUGAUCAAGAAUAAUUGUGAUUUUCGCAUGGUUUUAUGAAAAUGAUUUUCUACCCUUCGUGGUAAUUGAUUUUUAAAAAGAAAAGAUUUCCGUGUGGAAAAUGAUUUUAAAAAGGAUUUUUCGCUUUUUAUGAUUCUAGUAUUUCAAAAUGAGUUUCGGGGUGGAAAACAUUUUAAAUAAUAGAUGUGAUUGAUUGAAUAUUAAUCGUGAUGUUGUGAAGUGGUGAAUGUAUACAUAAUUUGUGCAUGCUUGUGGUUAUAUCUUGUACUUGUGCGACGCCGUGCAAAUAUAGGAAAAACUCUAUCCGUGUGAACCGUGGGUUUCCUAUAUUUGUGGUGGAUUUGGCAUCUCCUGGAAUCAAGAUUUUCAAAAUUAAAAAAUUUGGGCACUUCCGCUUUUUUUUGUACUUAAAAGAGAUUCUGGGGCAUGACUGACGGUCUUUCUCUAUAUUCUUUUUCUAUUUUUUAAAGUCAGAUAUAAGACAAUCUAUUCGAAAUUCCAAACAAAAACCUAACGAAAACCUAUUUCCGGAAAAAAAAAAAAUGGCUAAAUUACAGAAAACCCCCCUGUAAUAACCCGCUUUUUCACUUCCCCCCCCUGACAUUUAAAAACCUACAUUUUGCCCCCUUCUAAUUACGAAAUUGUGCACAGGGGGCUACGGCGUUAACGGAAAGUGUGAAAUGACGAUAAUGCCCUUACCUUUUACUUGACGGGGAGAGAGAGGGGAGAGAGAGAAAGUGGAAUGUCGUUCGUUUCGUCGUUGGAGAAAAAAAAUCUAGGGCUCGAUCCUGCGAGGAGGACGAGGCGAUUCGAACCCUAGGCGUAGGCGAAAGGCAAGCGCUAGCUUUCGAACCAAGGAGAAAGGCGAGCGAAUCGACAUAGGGACAGUGAUCGUGCUUGAACGAGGACCCUCUUACUAUGCUGAGGUAUAAUUAUAAGCUUUAGUGUUGAAAUGUUAAUUUAGUACAUGUGGUCCCUAAUGUUUCUGUGGUUGAAGAAAUUCCUUUGGGUUUUGUAGUUUUGCAUUAUUUUAUUCCUUAUUUUAGUACAUGUGGUCCCUGAUGUUCCUAUGCUGAGGUAUAAUUAAGCUUUAGUGUUGAAGGUUGGUUUGAUAUUAUCUGAGCUUUUGGUCCCACUUUGCUUUAUGUUUUUGUAUGUGAUGCAUUUAUAUUUUUGUUUUAUUUNUUUUAUAGUCUCCCGCCAUUUUAAAGGGUAGUUUGGGUAUCUCCACUAAUAAAUUUCGAAAAAGCAAACAGAACACUCACGGAACCGUGACGGCAAGGGGCCCUGUGCACAAUUUCGUAAUUAGAAGGGGGCAAAAUGUAGGUUUUUAAAUGUCAGGGGGGGAAAGUGAAAAAGUGGGUUAUUACAGGGGGGUUUUCUGUAAUUUAGCCAAAAAAAAAACUCUGCUAAAUCUCAACGGGAAGCCUAAGGCAGCGUUUGGUUUGGAAACAAGGAAGAAAUAAGCCCUUGUUCCCCCUUUUGUUUCCAAACAUAAAUUUUUGUACUUGAGAAUAGUAGUUUUCGGAUUUCUGGAAUAAUCUAGUAUAACUUGAUAUAAGCUUGAAACUGCUAUUUCACCCGAACAAAGUUAAUUAAAGUCUAAAUUUAAUUUUAAUUAUGGUAUUAAAUCAUUAAUUAAUCUAAAUAAUAUAUUUAAAUCAUUAUCAAUUUCUUAAAUAAUAAAAUAAUUAAUUACUUUAUUACUUAUAAUUAAUUGGCUAAUUAGUUAUUAAUAAUUUAAUAUGUUUAUUCAUAAACUAAUAUACAUAUUAAUAAACCAUUAAUAUUUUUAAUGGUUUAAUAUGUUAUUAAUAUGUAUUUUAGUUAUUAAUAUGUAUAUUAGUAAACCAUUAAUUAAUAUGUAUAUUAGUUAUUAAUAGUUAUUAAUAUACAUAUUAAUAAACCAUUAAUUAGCUAAUUAGUUAUUAAUAUGUAUAUUAGUUUAUUCAUAAACUAAUAUACAUAUUAAUAAACCAUUAAUAUUUUUAUUAAUCUAAUUAAUUGUUUCUACUAGUUAUGUAAAUAAAAUAAUUUACUAACUAAUCAUAAACUAAUAUACAUAUUAAUAAACCAUUAAUAUUUUUAUUAAUCUAAUUAAUUUUUUCUACUAGUUAUGUAAAUAAAAUAAUUUACUAACUAAUUAAAAAGUUAAAUUACUUUUUAUAAUUAAUUAAUUAAUUAAUAUAUUUUUAUUAUCUUAUAUAAUAUUCAUAGUUAAUAAAUUUAUUAAUUAUUUUUAAUUAAUAUUUUGCUGUUAAUUAAUUAGAUAAAAUAUUUUUAAUUUAAAAUUAUAACUCUUAUCUUUUUUUGNUACAUAUUAAUAAACCAUUAAUAUUUUUAUUAAUCUAAUUAAUUGUUUCUACUAGUUAUGUAAAUAAAAUAAUUUACUAACUAAUUAAAAAGUUAAUUUAUUAAUUAUUUUUAAUUAAUAUUUUGCUGUUAAUUAAUUAGAUAAAAUAUUUUUAAUUUAAAAUUAUAACUCUUAUCUUUUUUUGUUCCAAACUAACCAUCCACAUACUAUUUAUUUAUUUUAUUUCUAAAAACAAUCUAAUUUUUUUAAAAUAUAAAAUUGAUUUAAUUAUUAUUUAUAUCUAAAUUUGUAUCUAUUUUAAAAAUAAGUUAUUCUUACUUAUUUUCGAAUCAAACGCAGUAUAAAAGUACGGCUUAGUUUAGUAUUGAGGCCUAUCGAUGGAGUUGGAAUAAAAAUAUAUAGAAAUAUAUUUCUGUCUUCUACGAUGAACCGAAAAAAAUAUAUAUUAUAGUCGACCCACAAUAGUAAACGAAACGUAAUAUUAUAUAUAAAAUUAAAUAAAAUAUUUUUGAGCGUACUUUUCCGUCACUGGUACAGUAACUUUUUCGCAAUCGGACGCGAAGCCAAAUGGUGAAACUGUACUCGAAGCGUGAAAUUAACGCUGCCGAUUGCGUGGACACAAUAGUGGCUAUCCAGCCCAGGAUAUCGCGAUCCCAGAAGUGAGAGAAAGAAUGGCCGUGGCUCUUCUCACCCAUCCUCCCCCUUCUCCCACACUCUCCCAUUCCCCCUCUUCUCUCCCCUCCAUCUUCUGGUACUUCUUCUCCUGCUGUACUCUCUCUUUCUCUCUCCUUCCACUUCAAUUAAACGCUAAAAGAAGAUUCUUGAUUGUGGUUUCCAGGGACCGGAAUCCGUUUUGCAGAACAAGAACAAGAACAAGAACAAGAACAAGAACAAGAAGAUGCCCGCUUCUGGGGAGAUCCCAUGUCGUUGUUUCUUCGUGUUGUUCAGAGCCUACUUCAACAAUGACGAGCUCACGGAGGAGAAGGGAUCUCGUGUUGUCGACCCUCGCGGCUUCGUUAGCACUGGCUCUUCCAUGUUCCGGUAGGAACUGAGCCUCUCUUUGUUCUUGCUAUUUCGCAUGUAACUUACCUGACCUGUGGACCACUUUGAUUCCACUAUCCGGACUUUCAAAAUUUUGAUAUACAUCAACCUUUCAAAAUUACUUGAAUUUGGGAGAGCUUAAGAAUACAUAAAGUAUUUAUUUUAAAAAACAGAUUUAUGAAGCAAGUUAUUACAAAAGUUCGGUGUGCAGAGCACAAGCUUUUUAAGAAACUUUUUUUUUGCUUUGGCUCUAGGAUUUACAAUAUUUUAAGUGCUUUUUUUUGCAUUGAGCCCCCUCUCAUUUUUUUUUUUUUAAAUAGUCCCAUAAAAUUUAUAAUUGCAAAACUGGCCCUAUCCCUGCCAUGCAAGUGCCACGUCAGCGGCUGUGGAGGGUUAAGUUGAACACGGUGCAUGAGUCACCAUGUUUAAACAUGGUGAACCAUUUACCAUGUUUGGACGGGCUAAACAGUAGUCAAGUUCCGUAAUGCAGAAGAACUCAAACAGCCUCGCAGUUUAGCUUAAACAUGGUGAACCAUUCAUCGUGUUUAGGACUUUUUUUGCAAUUGGCCCCGUGAAAAAAAUUUAUUUUAAAAAUAACCCCGAUAAAUUUAUAAUUGUAAAAAUAGCCCUACCGCUGCCACGCAGUCGCCACGCGGGCAGGCUGGAUGGCGGGUUUGGCAAGUUGAACACGGUGGACCAUUCACCGUGUUCAAACAUGGUGAAUGGUUCACCGUGUUCAGUUAGUUAUUCUGCCUUGAAAAAGAUGGUGUAUAAUAUGUUUAGGGUUUACAUCAAGCGACGCGAAUAAACAAAAGAAAUACGGUGAACCAUUCACCGUGUUUGAACACGGGUGAAUGGUUCACCGUGUUCAACUUGCCAAGCAGGAGCCCAGCCCGCCAACGUGGCAUUUGCGUGGCGCCUGCGUGGUAGGGGUAGGGUCAUUUUUGCAAUUAUAAAUUUGUCGGGGCUAUUUUUAAAAUAAAAUUUUUCUAGGAGGCCAUUUGCAAAAAAAAACCUCGUGUUUAAGCUACUGACGUGGCGCUUGCGUGAGGGGAAUAGGGCCAAUUUUACAAUUAUAAAUUUUGUAGGGUUAUUUGUAAAAAACAAAUUUAUGAGGGUACCAAAUGCAAAAAAGGCCCAUAUUUUAAUUUUUACCGUACCAUAAAAAGGGGCCUUUAUGCAAGUUCUGAAAAAGUUGAGGGGGUUCAUGGCCACUGUGAGCCCCUCAAUAGCUCUAUCCUUGGAUGACUCUUUCUGUAGUAAGUAUAAGUUCGUUACUUUAAUGAAUUUAUAGUUACAUUGAUUGCAUAAAAUAUACUAAUUAAGUCUACAAGGAUGAAGAUGUAUUCAAAUUUUGAAGUUAAAGAGUAUCAAAUAAAUUGAUUGAUUAGGUAGCAAGAUUAAAAUUUUUAAAGGUUAGGUAGUUAGAACAAAAUGGGUGAUAGCUGAGUUAACUUCUAUACAACUGUCUUGGUUGUACAAAUGCAUGGAGACCCUUUAAUGUAGGAUAGGCCAUUUUGAAAUAAACCCCUCAGCUAUUAUUUAUUGGAUUGAGACCGCCCUCAACUCCAAAGUUUUUGGAAUUAAGUGAUAGUAAGUCAAAAAAAAUUGAAGUUUUAUAAAUUCAAAUUUAAUGACUUUAAUUGCUUUUCAGUAAAUGAAAUUAUCUUAACUAACGAUUAAUAACUAGUAGAGUCAUUAAAUUUGAUACAUAUACACACACACACACAUGCACGCACUUAUCGAGUAUGAAAUCUCAAAAAAAAAAAAAAAAAAAAAGAACUUGAGGGGUUCUCGAACCAAAAGAAAAUAGUUGAGGGGGCCAUUUUACGGUGGCCUAUAGUUGAGGGGGCCUCUAUGCAUUUUUACCUUUCUUGAUUGAUUUGGGGUAAAAACAUAUGGAACUCACCUAAACUAUGACCCAUUUUGAUUUGACUACCUAACCUUUAAGAAUUUUUUUUUAAACUGACUAAUCUUUCAAUUUAUUUGAUUUGAGCUAUUUGGUAACUCUUUUUCUUCAAACUCCAGAUGUAAUGUUUAUUAUAAUAGACUUAAUUAGAAUAUUUAUGUGCGAUUCACAUGACUACAUUCUUAUUAGGGCCUGUUUGGUUCACAGUUUGUAAUAUUCUAGAAAUCCUCCAUAUUUUCUAUUGAAAAUAUUCAAAUCAGUACCAUUCAACUCAAGUUGGAUAGUUGUAAAAGGUUUUAAUGAAGUAGUGGAAUUAUUGUAGAUUUCUAGAUGGUAGGAAUACAAGAUUGUCAUGGGUUAGGAGGUAUCCUCAUUAUAGGAAUUAUUAGCAGUCCAUUAAUAAAAAUAUACUAGUUCUUAACAAUCUCUCCCCAAGUGGAUUGCUGGCUUGGUUAAUUUAACAUAGUUGACAUUCCUAAUAUAAAAUAUACAACAUUUUCGGAAUAUUACAAACCUUGAACCAAGCGGCCCCUUAAAGUAAGCAGUAUGCUCAGCUUUUGGAAGAGAAAAGUAACCAAAUGACUUAAUUCAAACCAAUUUAAACAUGAGGCACCAAAAUUAAAACUUUUAAAGGCUAAGUAGUCAGAUUAGGACAGGCCAUAAUUUAGGCAUGUAAGUUCCAUAUGUAUUUACCUUUAUUUAUUUUAUGGUAUCUUUUCAUUUUCUGUCUAGUGAUGUUGAAAGUUAGGGGAAAAGUUCCGAGCGCGACCUAAACUUUGCCUGGAUUGCAAUUCACCACCUGAACUAUAAAACAUUGAAAUUAGGUUAAAAAUGAACUGACCUGAAGUAUGGCCCAUUUAUAAGACAACCCAAAAUUUGAAACUUUUGAUUUUACUACCUAACCUAUCUGUUUACUUUGGUUGAAGCUAUUUGGUGACUCUUUUUGCAACGUAAUUAUGUGUCGUUUGUUUUAGAAGACUUGUUUGGUGUAUUUCAUUUGAUUUAUGUGGUUGCACUCUUUCUAAAGUAGCUCAAAUUUUAUGAAAAAAAUAAUCAUCAAAUGACACAAAUCAAAUGGAUUGGGAGGUUAGGUAGUUGAAAGUAAAGCUUUUAAAGGUUAGAAAGUCAUCCGAAAACAGGCUAUAGUUUAGUUCAGUUUCAUAUUUGCCUAAAAUUUACCAUCUAAACAAGCAUCCUGUUGCAAUCCACCACAAAGUCUCUUUUUUUGUCAAUUUGCCUAGACAUAUGUUAGAAAAAUUAUUUAGCUAGUUGAACACAAGAAAGGGCAAGGCAGUCGUUUCACUCGAAACGUGACUCAUGUGCCAUCACACGACUACCGAACAUCUAACAAAUUGACAAAAAUAUAGGCUUUGUGGUGGAUUGCAGUGGAAUUAUUCUUUAGGUAUGGUUCGGGCAAAGAUUAGGUGAUUUUCGGGUUUUCUAGCCCUGAAAUUAUGUUCAAGAGCUAUACUACUGUUGCAAUCCAAUUACAUGUCAGAAGUUAUAGAUUUAAUUCAACUUUAAUUACAUCUGGAAUGGAGAAUAAUUGUGAUAUUUCAUCAUCUAAUUCAUGCUGUGUUGAGUUAAUAUAUAUAGUUCUUGAUUGUAGCUGCAGGUUUUUAGUUAGGAAAAUUAACAUAUGCAUACACCUUAGACUCGAUAACUUAGGGCUUGUGGUAUCUUAAGAAAGUAGCAAUUGAUUUAAGUGCUUUAUUAGUUUGUAUUCUUCAUAACAGUGCGAAGAAAUUGGGAGCGAGCUGCUUUGUAUCAGAGCUUCUGAUGAGCUUAAGUUUUAGGGAGAACGGCAAAAAGCCUCUGGUGAUAUAGUGCGUUUGCAGUUUAUACCACACUGGUUUAAAGUAUAGUCUUGAUGCAGCAUUUUGCUACCCUUUUUAACAGCAAGGCAUUUUGGGAAACUAAAAUCAUAUGGGGCGGGUAGAUAUAGGAUGUGGAGGAUCAUAAAAUGAGUGGUUUGACAGAUUUGGAUUCCUAUAUAUCCACAAAUCUAUUGAGUUGCUUGCUUAUACUGAUUUCUUUUUUCUUUUGAAUCUUUGGGUUGCGUAUGUUGAUUUAGUCAAAGAAUCUAAUUUUCUGCUGUAUUUAUAAUCUUCGAAAAUAAUAGUAACUUCUGAAAACAACAAAAGGACAUCGAUGCUGAAGAAACCUUAUUUUCCAUAUCCUAAACCAACUAGCAGGAGAGCAAAAUGUUACAUAUAUCAUAUAUGUGCUGAUGUCAUUUUUUAUAAAUAAUUCUUAGACUUGUUCACCUUCGCUCAUUCGUCAAUAAUGUGGUUAAGUACUCGUCAAAUGCAAUUGUGUGCAACUUAUUUAAUUUGCAGGCAGAGGUUGAUAGAUGCAACUUAUGAAAUAGCAACAAUAUGGCUUGACUAUGAGUCUUCUAGGUGAUGAUAUAAUCUAAUUUUGUGGAUGAUGGUUUCAUGUUGAAUCGUUGAUGCAUGACAACCCCUUCACUCGCCUGUUAUUAAUUGUGCAUACUAGCAGGCAAGACGAUCCUAGUGAAUAAGUUUUCAUUGCAAAUGCUUCAUUUUCAACAUACUAAUAUCUAUUUCCUCUUUAGAGCAAGAUACAUGAUCAUUUAGUUCAUUAUCUGCAUAGUUAGCCAGGAAAGCUUCACUUCGUCUUAAACUGUGUUCUACUUGUUUGUUUGUUACAAUUCUUGUCAACAUACUAAUAUCGAUUUCCUCUUUAGAGCAAGAUACAUGCUCAUUUAGUGCAUUAUCUACAGAGUUAGCCAAGAACGCUUCACUUCUCAAACUUUGUUCUACUUGUUUGUUACUAUUUUGUACCUGAUUUUUCUUUGUAAUUUUCUAGGUUCGCAUGCUGUUGUUGAGUUGGAUGAAGAUGUGAAGAUGGCUUUGCUACUGGAUGAUAUAAAUGCAUACUCUUUUCUGUACCCUGUUGAAUUGCCUGCGAAGAAAUUUUCCUUUAAGUGGUAAUUUUCAUAAUUCAUCUGCUCCGUCUAUCAUAGUUUGGUACUAUUUAUUGCUUCUUUUUGUUGAUUCAUUUACUUCUUAUCUGUGCUUGAAGUUUUAUAUAGUAUUUUACUGAAAUUCUUCGCGGCAACAUGAUACUGAUCUAAUAUCGAAAAUUGAAUCAAAAGAUCAACUUAAAAAUGAUUAUUAUCUUCUCAUUUCAGGAAGAAAAUGGAAUUCAGAUAAUGUCAACUUCUAUUUGAUCUGUUUCAAUUGCAUUAAAUCAACCAGAAUAUGUCUUCAGUAAAGCUGCAUUUCUAGAGUUAAAGACCGGUCCAGAAAACAAAUUCUCUUGAUCGGUUGAUCUCCUAUUGACACUCCCCUGCAUUCUCCACCCCCUCUUUUUCUCUGGCAGUGUUGCCGGUUACUGCAUAAAUAUCGGUUUACGAAAAAAAAAAUGAUAUUGCAUAUUUUAUUAUCUUAUGGUUGGAGCUGUUGUUGUCUCGAUUGUUCCUUUGCUACAUUGAUUUUGAAUUAGUGGCUUACAUUUUUCCAUGUUGCAUUUGGUAGAUGCGAUAACAUAAAGAUCUUUUCCUAUGUUAAGUUGAUCAAAUCUAGCUAUUUUUCUUCUGUUUGCAGGGUAGAGUCCAGAAAGCCGGAAAGAUACUCAUCUGCUGCACCAUUAUCACGUGAGCUCCAUAUCUCAUUGAACAUUGAUGUUGAGUAUUGCUGCCGUUCAGUUGCAAUACUUUGACUUAGUUAUUUAAUCAUUAUUCUGUUUCAGUUCUCUAGACCAUUAGCUUUUUGAAUUCUUUGUAACAUUUAGUGUCAACAAAAAUUGUUACUAAUUAAUAUAUUACAUGUUAUGCAGCUGAUGCGCGACAACGCAUUGUCUCUGAGCGUGUUGACAUGAUCAAUAACCUUGUCAUCUCUGUCUCGGUAUACAUGGAAAUAACUGUUCCUUCCAUAAAAAAGUAGAGUAUAUUUACUAACAGAAUCCUAUGAAUUGGUAGCUUAAAUAUAUAACCCUGUAAAUUCUGCUUUUUCAGAUACGCGCUUAAAAGAUGUUCUUUUAUAUAUGCCUUCGUACUUGCAGAAAUUUCCCUCUGCAAUAAAUGGUUAUACUAUGAAACACUGCUUUCCUUUGUAUUUGAUGAAAUUCCGACCUAUAAGUAAGGCUGUUUUGGGAAAAAAAACUACAUUUCAAUGGUUAUUUAAGAAAAUUCGCCUUUUGCGCAGAACACAGUAGAGAAAUUUAUAUGUAAUAGAUGAUUUUUGCAAGCUAAAUAUGCAAAGGCCCCUACAUUUCUAUUCAGCUUACCAUUGUGUUGUUUUAACUUCCUACAAGUUGAUCAUGCUAGUGCCGAGCAAUAGAGCCUUCUGAUAUUUUUACCUGCUAACUUUGAUUAAGUUGUAAAUGCUCCUGUUCCUUAUAAAAAAACCCAUUUUGAGUAGACAAUUUCUCCUGAUUAAAUCUGAGCUCUUUCCACCAUCUCAGUUCGAGAUUUUUAAUUUUUAUUCUUUGUUGCAGGUUGGUCCUCUGAAUUCACGCUUCCUAACUUCAAAUGACAAGAGUACGUGGAAAGCAAAAGAUGUUGCUGAUUCUGUUCUAUCUGAUAAAUCUGCAUUGGUAUUCAAUUGCUAUAUCUGCAUAAAGUAUCGAGAGAUCUCAAUAUAUGUGAUAAGCAACCUGCAUUCACAACUAUGAUUUAAUAAAGGUUUACAUGUUAGUGAGCUUUCUUGAAGUACACCGAAACAGAUCCUAUAAUUUGGAAAUAAUGGAACUAGUAUAAAUUACGUAGAUUUCCAUAUUAUAUUGAGUAGUACUGCUUGUUUACAUUGAUUGAGGAACUUCUUUUGCAGCGUGUAACAACUAGCCAGCGCAUGGCUGAGAGUUCAGUUCUUGAUGCACAUUCCACAACUGUAAGAUUUUGUCGACAUAUGAGUUGAUCUCACUUUCCUUUCUAAAAGCAUUUGCCUUUAUAUUUAACUGUUACACUAAUAACAUAAUUGUACUGUAGGUUGAUGGUGAACCAUACUGGUAUUAUGAGUAUCUAGUUCGAAAAUCACCAACAAAUUCUGUGAGUCCUCGUAUAUCUCUUAAGUGUCUGGUUCUUGUUACUUUGUUUUCCACAAUUUCCACUAACAUAUUAAAUUCGCGUAUAGGCAGGUAAAUGGUACUCAUGAUAAUUUAUAAUUUCUCAGGUGCAAGAGCCAAAUUUGUACCGGCACAAUGUGGCAGCCACUGCUGAGCGAGAUGGUAUUAUUAGCUCAUGAACUUCUAUUUCUUUGCGUUUGUUUCAUUGAUUUUAAUCCAACUCUAGGCUCACCAUAGAUAACAACAUUAGCCAAAAAAAAAAGCUACGUUGUGCUAGUUCAAAAAGCUACAUAUAUACUGAAAUGCUGUUGUGCAAUCUUGUUUCUAUUUGUUAUCGUGAUUUUCUUGGUUUCUUUGAUAAUUUAUGUGACAAUCCUGAACCAUAGAGACCACUUAAACUAGUGAAAUUUGCAAACCUAGCAUCCUCAUUUUCUUUUUCUUUCUAUGUUUUGGUGAUUUUCUCUUCUUUACUUCUUUUUUUUUUUUAUUUUUUCUUUUUAAACUGCAUCCAUACGGCUCUCAUAUGGUUCCAUUCUGAUCAGGCUAUCUUUACUCACUGAAUGCUUCAACUCUCAGCAAGCAAUGGGAAAAAGUAAGUUGUUGCAUAAUAGAUAUCUCUUUUGGUUGUUAGUAUUUCCUUAACUUUCUUUGAGGUGCAGGAUUUUAUUUUGGAUUAAAUACUAGUAUAUCUCUGUUAAAGUAUUAUAUGCAUUCCUGAUUGGUAUUAUGCGUUUGGUUGGCCUUUGUGCUUGCACCUGUGUUUGCGGCACGCAACUGCAAGGCCAAGCCUUUUUGAGAAAGCUCCGAUUUCAGAGCUUUCUCAAAAAGCUCUGCUAACGGGCUGCACUGCUUGGCCAAACAUGGCCUAUGUCAUCUAAAAUUUAAUUUUGAUGUACUUUACAGUUUAUGACCAAUGUGGUCUAAGUUUGUUGUCAUGUUGAUUAAUAUAACAUCGCAGUUGGGUUUGAUCUUAAUAACCAUCAUGAUGCUUAUGUACACGGUGACAUGGUCUUGAAGUCUAGCUUUUGUGAUGGUAAUUUUGCAUGGUAGAGGUUGAGAGCAAGGUCGGAAGUCAAAUAGGGAAAACAUCAUCCAGAUGAGACUAACCUCACUGGUUCUUAUGAGUGAUUGAUACCGUAUUAGAAUUUAUGAGUGAUUGAUACCGUAGUAGGAUUAGAUGGCAUAAAAAAGCAAGGAAUCCAUGAGGAGAAAUAUAAUUAAACUUGGUUGGUACGUCCAGCAAGGAUCAGUUAGGUAGAAUUUUAAGGCUGUUGUGACCUCUUUCUAUCGCAAUAAAUGAUUUUCAGUAGUAGCUGGAACAUCUUUUCAGUGAAAAAUCUCCUGGACUGGUUUAACAGUUUACUUUUUAUACUAUGCUAAAGAGAUAGAAGGACAAAGAUGUUUGGUCAUUGAAGGUCUUCGGAGUCUUGACCUUAGCCUGCUCUAGCUUUUAACAAAGUUAUGCCAUAAGUUCUUGGAUAAAUUUCACUACCCAUUAGAUGGUUCCGUUGUAUCACUUAGGUAUCCUAUAGUUACUAUAUCUAUUUUUUUUGAAUGAACUUAUUUCCUUCCAUCAAAAGUAAGCAUGUAACUGUCCCGUACACCAAUAAAACACGUAGAAACCAUCUGAUCUGUUGUGUGGGGAUGGCGAGUGAACCAGAGAGGGUCAAAUGCUAGUAUUUGUAAGAGAUUUCGAAUCGAAAUCAGGGAAGAAUUUGGUAAUUUGAGGGGAAUCAAAGGUCCCUAUGGCUGAUAGAAUUAGUUUCUGGUUGUUUAUAGAUGCAUGCGCCAGUCACUUGAUUAUUUUUAAUAGACGAUUAAUUGGAGUUAUUUAAAGGAAACUAGAGCAGUAACCACAGGGCUCGUAUGUGAUCGGAAUGAAACUACAGUGUAACAAUGUGAAAAUAUGCUAAAUCCUGUGUGGGAGAGCAAAUUCAUACAAAGUGUUGAUGUCUUCAGCCUUUAACUAGUACCUUAUAUUUUGCGAUUAUGCAGAUGGGGCCUUUUCUAGAGAGAACAGUGGCAUCUUUUCGCCUUCUCCCGCCGACGGAGAACUAUGUCCCGCCGUACAAGGACCCAUGGAGAUUUUGGUGACAAAGAGCCCUCGUUUUGCCUUAUCCACCUAUUUUCAUCUUUCUGCAUACUUUUUUGCUCCGAAGGCCCUAUUUGAAUGCUGGAAUAAGUUAUUCAAUGAUAUUCUAUUUGGUACGAGGAUUUUUAAUUAUGAUUGGAAGCUAGGAGUGUGAUCAAAUGUCUAUAAUGGAAUAGCAUAUUCGGUCAUCGAGUCAUUUUUUCCAAAAUGAGGUAAAUAACAUCAUAAGUGAAAUAUGCUGCUAACCUUUCGAAUAGCGAAAAUCAAACUUUUUUCUUACAAUCAUAAGAAAAAAUCCUCAUAAUAAGUAAGUUAUCAUCGAACAACUUAUUCUGAUAUUCAAACAGGCUCGAAGUGAAGUAGUGAACAAAAAUUUUAAUGAGGUGCUGCAAGGCUGUGAAGUGAACAACAAUUUUGUGAGGCAUCAGUUUGGGCUUCUUUUUCCUUUUCUGCCUCCAUGGCUUGUAAAGUGAUGUUUAUGAUAUGUGUACAUUUAUGACAGGCCAUCAAGUCUCUAAGAUAAGAAAUUUUGUUUUUCAAGGCAGUAAUGUAUGAAACACUAGUCACCACUUUUGGCUUCUAUUUUGUUAUGGUCUGUUAAGAACUCUUUUAUGUUGCUGCAGACAGUGAGGAGAGGAUUUUAACAAAUUAUAGCUGAUCUUGAUCUUGAUCUUGGUUGUUUUAUUAGACCAUUAAACAAGCGAACGCCUUAUGUCAAAUUUGAGAAUUAGCGAGAUCGACUCCUAGAAUUAUAAUAGUAUUUAUUCGGUUCGAUUCCAGUUUCUCUUGUAAUCCGAAACUAACCGAACCAUUUCCGCUCCUGCUCAUUGUGAGCAAAAGUCAUCUUCAGUUGAUAUACCAUAGUAUUUUGAGAAUGACACACAAAAACCGCACCUGUGGACUCUGCAUAUAGUAUCUAAAAGAUAAAAGUAAGUUUUAUCGUGCGCCGGGUGCACCAUACAUAUCCUAUUUUUUUCUCCCCUAAAUUUUGUUAUAACUUUGUAUAUAUAUAUAUAUAUAUAUAUAUAUAUAUAUAUAGAGGGCCUCUGUGCUUGUAAGUUGUUUUCGAUUAUAGGACAUCCGAUUUGACGAUCCGCUCCAUUAAGCAUAAUCUACGCUAUUGGAACUAUCCAGAAACCAAAUUUUAUAAUUUUUCGACAUCAUUUACCAAGCGAUCACAGGGUCUCAAAAAUGACUAUUUUAACGGCCGAUGUGGCACAUUUUUAAAUUUAACGGUGUAGAAGUUUCCAAAUUAUAUGAAAUUUUAAUAAAAAAUUCUACUUAACAUUAAGAGUAAGAACAAUACUUUCGAUUUGAAAUUUGAGUCUUUUAUCACUGUUUUUUAUGAGAUUUUUAUUUUCAGCCGUUCAUUUGAGGCUACUCGUUCACUAGGCAAAUAAAGUCAAAAAAUUAUGAAAUUUGGUUUCUAGAUAGUUCCAAUAGUGUAGAUCAUGUUUAACGGAACCGAUCGCCGAAUCGGAAGUCCCAUCAUCGAAAACAACUUACAAGCACGGAGGCUUCCGUACUUUCGAAAGCAUAAGAGCCUAACUCUAUAUAUAUAUAUAUCUCUAUAUAUGUUUACUAACCCCUAUGUAUAUAUCUCUGUAUAUGUUUACGAACCCCCUUUUAUUUGGCAGAUGCUACAAUCCCCCCUCGCUUGAGAAGAUUCGCGACCUCAAGGAUCGAAGUCCAGGAAUUGGAAUUUCAAGAACCGAUAGUCUUCCCAGCUCGCGGCCUCCUUUCCGAGGUUCUCGCACUCGACCCGCACUUGGCUUACUGCUUGAUUUCCCCUCCUGAUCAUAUGUCGGUCCAANNNNNNNNNNNNNNNNNNNNNNNNNNNNNNNNNNNNNNNNNNNNNNNNNNNNNNNNNNNNNNNNNNNNNNNNNNNNNNNNNNNNNNNNNNNNNNNNNNNNNNNNNNNNNNNNNNNNNNNNNNNNNNNNNNNNNNNNNNNNNNNNNNNNNNNNNNNNNNNNNNNNNNNNNNNNNNNNNNNNNNNNNNNNNNNNNNNNNNNNNNNNNNNNNNNNNNNNNNNNNNNNNNNNNNNNNNNNNNNNNNNNNNNNNNNNNNNNNNNNNNNNNNNNNNNNNNNNNNNNNNNNNNNNNNNNNNNNNNNNNNNNNNNNNNNNNNNNNNNNNNNNNNNNNNNNNNNNNNNNNNNNNNNNNNNNNNNNNNNNNNNNNNNNNNNNNNNNNNNNNNNNNNNNNNNNNNNNNNNNNNNNNNNNNNNNNNNNNNNNNNNNNNNNNNNNNNNNNNNNNNNNNNNNNNNNNNNNNNNNNNNNNNNNNNNNNNNNNNNNNNNNNNNNNNNNNNNNNNNNNNNNNNNNNNNNNNNNNNNNNNNNNNNNNNNNNNNNNNNNNNNNNNNNNNNNNNNNNNNNNNNNNNNNNNNNNNNNNNNNNNNNNNNNNNNNNNNNNNGGUUUACUACCGAUUUGUUUUUGAUGAUAGAGCUUCCAAAUCGACGAUCGGCACCGUUGAACAUGAUCUAGACCAUUUAAAUGAUCUAGUAAUCAAAUUUCAUGAUUUUUUGGCAUCACUAACUAAACGAUCAAAGGGUCACAAAAUCUAUAAUUUUAAUGGCCAAUAUGGUGAGUUUGCUCGUUUAACGAUAUAGAAGAGUUCAAAUCAAUUAAAUUUUUGUUAAAAAAUUUAUUAAACUAUUUAAAAUAAGAUCUAGAACCUAGAUCUCAAAUAUAAAAAUUGUAUCAUCACUUUUUGAAGGAUAUUCAUUUUCAGCCAUUCAUUUUUCUGUUCACUUGAUGGACAAGAGAACAAAAUCGAAAAUGUGUAAAAUUUGAUUUUCAGAUAGUUUAAAUAAUUUAGAUCAUGUUUAACGGUGCCGAUCAUCAAUUUGAAAGCUCUAUUAUCGAAAACAAAUCGGUAGUAAACCGAGCCGUUUACUACCGAUAGUAUUCUAGCAAAACUCUAUAUGAGUUUGACUGGGCUACUAUCGGUAAUAAACGAUUUGUUUUUGAUGAUAAAGCUUCCAAAUCGACGAUCGGCAUUGUUGAACAUGAUCUAGACCAUUUAAAUUAUCUAGAAAUCAAAUUUCAUGAUUUUUUGGCAUCACUAACUGAACGAUCAAAGGGUCACAAAAUCUAUAAUUUUAAUGGCCGAUAUGGUGCGUUUGCUCGUUUAACGGUAUAGAAGAGUUCAAAUCAAUUAAAUUUUUGUUAAAAAAUUCUUUAAACUAUUUAAAAUAAGAUCUAGACUCNUAGAAAAUUAUUUUUACUAUUUAGAGUAAGAUCAGUACCUCUGAUCUUAAAUUUAAGUUUUCUAUCAUAAUUUUUUAUAAGAUUUUUAUUUUCAGCUGUUCAUUUUUAGACUACUCGUUUGAUAGGUAAAUGAUUCCGAAAAGUUAUGAAAUUUAGUUUCCAAAUACUUUCAAUAGUGUAGAUCAAGUCUAACGGAGCCGAUCGUUGAUUUGGAACUGGCAUCAUUGAAAACAACUUUGUAGCAUGGAGGCGUCCGUGCUACCGAUAGUAUACUAGCCUAGCUCUCUCUCUCUCUCUCUCUCUCUCUCUCUCUAUAUAUAUAUAUAUAUAUAUUUUUUGAGAGACAUGUACCAUGCUACCUGCUUCAUUUUUUUUUUAGAAAUAAAUUUAACUGAAAAUGUGAAUCAACUACGGUUCGAACUUGGGACCUCGGAUAAUAACCACCAAGCCUUUUGCCACUUUCACUGGGGACGUAGGUUUAGGGCUGAUAUUUUGACUUUAGGGUUUAGGGUUUACAUUUUAGGGCUUAGGUAUUAGGGUUUACAUUUUAGGGCUUAGGUAUUAGGGUUUUAGGGUUUGAUAUUUGAGUUUAGGAUUUAGGACUUACAUCUUUGUUUGGUUCGAGGUUAAGGGGGGGAUAACCCCUUAACCCCGAAGUUAAUCCCUAACCGGGGUGGGGUUAACAAACCCCACCCUUAUCAAGUUAUCGGGUUAAACCCACACCCCCACCCUCCUCCCCUCCGAUGGAAUUGGGGGGGGAUUAACUUUAAUCCCACCUAGAGAUGUCAACGUGUCGGAUUCAGGGUGGAUUUUCAAAAACCCGAACUCGAAUCCGACUCCAAACCCGAGAGCCAAAUCCGAACGCGAACCCGAACCCGACGGAUUUUAAAAAUCCAUAUUCAAACCCGAACCAGACCAAAAAUUUGAAACCCGAACCCGAACCCGAAAAUUUGAACCUGAAACAAUUAUUUUUUUUUACAAUAUUUCAAAAUAUAUUAUAUUAAAUCUUAAUUUUUAAAAUACAAAUUCAAAUAUAACAUCUAAUAUAUAUAUAUAUAUAUAAUUCAAAAUAAAUUUGGGUUCGGGUUCGGGUUCGGAUCGGGUACAGUCAAAAUUCAUAUCUGAAUCCAUGUCCAUUGGGUUUCUAUUUUUACUAUCUAUAUCCAAAUCCAUAUCCAUUUAGUAUCGGAUAUAUCUAUUUCAUACGGGUUCGGGUUCGGAUAAACUUUUGGAUAUCUAAACCCAUUGACAUCCCUAAUCCCACCCCAAUUCAAAUUUUUAAUUUAAAUUUUUAAUUAAAAUUUUAAAUUUGAUUUUUUAAAUUUAAAUUUGUAUUUUAAUUUUUUUAAAUUUAAAGAUUUGUAAGCUUAAAAUUUUGACAUUUAAUUUCAAAUUAUUAAUUUUAAAUUUUAAAUUUUAAAUUAUUAUUUUUAAUUUUUUAAAUUUAAAAUUUAGUAUUUGAUAUUUUUAAAUUUAAAUUUAAUCAUAAAUUUAAAAAUUUAGAACUUCAAAUUUUUGAAUUUGAGAUUUAAAAAUUAAUUUUUAUUUUGAAUUUUUAAAAUUUUAAAGUUAUUAAUUUAAAUUUAAAAUUUUAAUUAUAAAAUUUAAAUAUUUAAAUUUAAAUAUAAAGUUAUUUUUUUAUUUAUAACAACUCAUUAUCCUUCUUAUCCCAUCUACUCCAACCAAAUACUAUUUUAUUUAUAUCUGGACUAAACCCAAUUCUCAACCAAAUACAAAAUCACUCUAACCCUACCUUAACUCUGAACUUAACCAUAUCCCUGGAAUAACUAGUUCUUACUUAACCCCGAACCAAACGAAUAGGGUUUAGUGGGUGGUUAAUUGAAUAGUAUGAUCCAAACAAUGAAAUUGAUUAAAGUAUAGAUCUAACAGCUAAAAAAUCGAUAGCAACAGAGUCCAAAUACUAUUAAUAGUAUUCCAGCUCAACUCCAACGGCUACAAUCUUAUUAAUAGCACAAAGCACUUGAUGCUACCAAGUUUUUCGCCGUUAGAUCUAACUCUUUGACCAUUUCAUCCUUUAGAUGAUACUAUUCCACCAAUCACCCACUAAAUCUUAGGGAAUUAUUAUCAUCCUAAACACACAUCCCUGCAUUCAAGGGCCGAAAAUCUAAGAACACUAAUGAAUUGUUACUAUUAAUAGUAUUCUAAUCAAGUUCUAUACACA
This 61062-nucleotide long non-coding RNA is filed under the name Ananas comosus (pineapple). RNAcentral describes it as "long non-coding RNA (ACOM_LNC024489)". The record is from RNAcentral. Lineage: Eukaryota; Viridiplantae; Streptophyta; Magnoliopsida; Poales; Bromeliaceae.